This 62237-nucleotide long non-coding RNA is filed under the name Fragaria vesca (wild strawberry). RNAcentral describes it as "long non-coding RNA (FVES_LNC001105)". Lineage: Eukaryota; Viridiplantae; Streptophyta; Magnoliopsida; Rosales; Rosaceae. The record is from RNAcentral.
GCCAGACCUAGAUACAAUUAUGUAUAACCUUUUUCAGUUUUUAUGUGUUCGGUGAAGCAAAAGUAAACGAGAAAAUUAGAUAAAAAUUUAAAUUAUAAAACUUAUAUUAAAUUUUUUUUUAAAGUAAAAUGUCAUACGAAACGACGCAUCCUAAAGAAAUUGUCAGAAAGCAUCGUUUCGCAGAAUCCCCAAUCCUACACUAUCCAAAACAUAAAUCAAGACAUUCCUAGUACACCUACCGUUUAACUCUUAAGCACUUUUAUUUUACAAGUAAACUAGGUUUCAUAGAAAGAAAUCAAGAAUCUACGAAUUCUAUCAGUUUACCUAGACCAAAACCAAAUUAAACAUAUUAUAUGAGAAGGACGUUAGACGCAUCCACCUCACUCUUCUUAGCUUGCGCCUCAAACAUCAGCACUUCUACCUCUGGUUCCUGAGUUGGUGCCUCCUUGAGCAUCCCCACCUCAAAAACCAUACCACCAGAAGCCUCUUGCAUCCUUACAAUUGGGUUUCCUCCUACCUCCCCAUCCAAGUUCUUCUCGAUGACCAAAGGAUUCAUCGAACCUACAGAAACAAACCUUUAAUCAGUAGUCUUCUCGGAGGAGGAUACUUUCUUAUGACUCUUCCAUUUCUUGACCACAAGAGCAAACUCUGUUUUAGGUUUGUUCUUGCUGCCAUAAGGGCGACCUAACUUCUUCUUUGAGGAUACAACCAACUGGCCUUGAUGAUGUACCAAACUGGCCUUGAUGAUGUACCAAAGCCACCGAUCUUGUCUCAGCAACAUUCAGAGAUGCUUCAGGGAAAUUAAGAAGGCGUUUACCAGUACGCUCUAAAACAUACACCCACAUACAUUUAAAGAUGGUUUGGGGAAAUUAAUUUAAUAAUUAUUAAAUUAUUAACAUACACCACAUACAUGUUUUUUUUUCAUUCUACACCCAAAAUCUUUUAUUAUUAUUUUUAUUUGUUUUUCGUAUGUCUAAUUUAUCCUUCUAAUGUAUAAAAAGUUAAAUUAAAUUAUUUUCUUAGUUUGAGAAUCCAUUUGAAUUUUCCUUAAUUCUAUCUUAAUCAAUUACAUCCAUGAUUUUUUUCUUUUUUAAAAAAAAUUUAUAUUGCUGAGUCAAUGUGUGUGUGUAUAUUCAUUACAAAAUUAUUCAAUUUUUAAAAAGGUUUGAGUUCUUGUUCUUGUUAGCAUGUAUUUUUCUUCUCAAAGAGCCUUCACAUCAGAUCUUUUCUUCUAAACUCGAUCAAAAGCAAGUGUAUAUAUAAAAUGUCCCCAUCCCAUCAAAAUCCAUAUUUCAUUAUUACAAUAUCUGGUCACGGUCAUUGUAUCGAUCUAAUCUGUAAUUAUUCAGCACAGGAAAAAAAAAAAAUGGGGUUUUGCUGCAGCAAGAAAAAUAAAGCUGAUAAAGCUAGUGGGACAGUCCGAAUGUCUCUUCAAUCUUCAGGAAAUCUCUCUCUAGGUUCUAGGGUUAGAGAGCCAGCAAGGUUCCAUUUUCUUCUCUCUUCCAUUUCUUAAAGCAGCUAGAAGCUCUGUGUACAUGGCCCUAUGAAGCUCCAGCUGCUCCAGCUGUUGAAAAAUCGCAGAAAGAAAAUCUCCAAUCGAUGGAGAACAAAUUGUCUUUAUUUCAUUGUCUCACUGCAUAAUUCCUUUCUUAUUUUUCUCGCGUACUGAGUUACUGACACGGUUCAUAUAAGACGUUAAGUUAUUUACUUGUAUGUAUCAAGCUAAUAGCUAAUAUACAUGGGACUGAUGCGAGUACUGGCUAUAUAUGGUAUGGUAUAUAUAGAAACUUAGAAAGAGAGAUGCAGCCUCUUUAAGUCUGAACUACCUGGUAAAUUGUUAAUAGUUCUUACUUCUUACUUCACAUAUAGUUGACAGUUGAGUACGCAUGCUCUAUCAUGAGAAAGAUGGAUGCUCUUUCAAUGAAUUGUAAGUUUGUAUUUACCCGUGAAGACAUUGUUGAAUGUUCUAGCACUUUGGUGAAACUUGUUCGACUUUACUGCCUCGAAUAUGUUGCAUAAUACCUAGUUUUUUUAUGUUGCAGAAUAACUAGUUGGAGGAACUUGUUUGAACCCUAUGCUUAUUUCUUGAUUGAUACCUUCGUUUAUACGAAGAGAAAAUUACAUAAUCUCAACAAAACAAAAAAAAUACAUAGUGAAGUCCUAAUUUAGGCUUCCAUUGAUUAUAGAUAUCUAACAGGUGAAAGUGAAACACAAGAGAGGUAAAAUUUUAACUACAAGAAUGGACAAAAGAGCUGGAAAUUAGCUUAUAGAAGUGGGUCCUAAACAAAUCUGCUGUUAGAUAUCACCGCACGCAAAAAAUCAACGGAUAAAUCAACUCAAUUUCCAUAUCGAGAGAAGAAACUGAUUAUCCAUUUGGAAGAUAAAGACAACAAGUAAAACACUAAAAGUAAUUAAGUUGGGCAUUUUUGUUUUUUGUUUUUCUUCUUGUUUUGAAGAAGCAGCAGCGACCCACUGAACAUGAUGGGUUUGAAAAUUGGGUUACAAUGGAGCUACAGAACAGAACAGAACAGAACAGAACUUUGGAUCGUGGUUAGGAUUUAGCUAGAGUUACUGUAAAUACUACUGUAAUGGGUAGAUCUAGGGUUAGGGUUUCAAGGGAAGGAGAGGUAGGCGAAUCAGUAACAAAAGCGUAAGAAUAAGAAAGCAGGCAAGGAGAAAAAGUUAGACGGACGUCACUGGUGUGAGGUUUUGAAGUCUGUAUAGGAGGAAGGAAGAGGGAUGGAGAGACAGGAAGGCUAGGCCCCUUGCAAGCAAAGCUUUUCUGAUAUGAACUUUACGUCAAGUCCAUCAAACAGCUGCAUAAUACCAAGAAUUAUUCAUAUUUUUAUAAAGUAAAGUGAUUUUCUGUUUCUCUUUAAAGUGAUGAUCAAACAAAUUCAAACCCAGAAUUCAAAAUGCCGGAUAAAUUAACGCUUCAAUAUAUGGAAACGUUGGUUGCAUUCUAUUCAAGUGAGACUAAAAUGUUUUGCAAAUCAUGAUUAUAAAUCUAAACAGUAUAAGUUAUUCCAGUCUUGAUUAUAAAUCUCUUUUCUCCUAACAGUAUGGAUUCGACUAGAAAUUCCCAAACAGAUGAACAAUAUGUAUCAAGGUGUCAAUAUCGAUCGAUCUAGUCAGUCAAGGUCUGAAGGACGAGAAUUCCACCAAAUGAGAUUGAUAUAUGUUCUAUUUUCAUUCAAAUAGUACAAGAGAGUUGUAGAGCACGAGUUGCAUUUACAGUCUCACGAGCAUGUAUUUGCAAAUCAUGAAGUACCUAUAGACUAUACUGAUUAUAUUCUUUAAGAAAAAUUUUAAAAACAGUACAUGAUAAAUUGUUCAUUCUAAAUUUUGGUGUUUUAAGUUUCAAAACAAUCAUAACGGUACAUGAAUUUGUAAUCUCAUCAAAAAAAUAUGUACAUACCGUUACAUUCUCUGUUAUCUACCGUGUUUUCCGUUAAACUUUGAGGAGACAAAUCCGUCACUCUUUAAUUUAGCAGUAAUAAAUUAUUAAAAUCAAUAAUUAAAUUAAUAAUUAAUAAGGAGAAGGAAAUAAGAAAGAAAAAAGUAUUGUUGUCUCUCUUUUUCAUCCUCGUUCAAACCCAACAUACACAAAAAUGGUGAUCAAGGUAGGACUGUAGGAGGAAGUUGGAAGAUGAUUUGAUUUGGUAAGUUACGGAAUACAUGGUUUGUAUUAAAGGAAAGGAUCCUACUGUACCUUAACCAUUCAGUAGAUAAUUGGUAGAGUUGUAAUCCCUUAUUUUCAGGGUUUAUAGUUUCCUUGUACAGCUAGAGUUAGGGUUUCACCCUUCUAAGGUUUGUGUAUAUAUACCGAUGUAAUUGCACACCAUUGAAUAAGAAUACAAGCUUAUUCCAGUAUCAAACUCUUUAUGGUACCAGAGCCUAUAUCGAUCUAGGCAAACACACACACACACACACACACCCCCAUGGCAAACGGUGAUGAAGAAAAAACCAUCAAGGGCACUUCCAGAACACCUGAACCUUGGGAAAACCCUAACCAUGUUCUUUAUCUUCAUCAUUCAGACCAGCUUGCUGCAGUCCUUGUAGCACAGUCGCUGAUGGAAGAUAACUACGCAGAAUGGAGUCAGUCAAUCAGCAUGGCAUUGACAAUCAAAAACAAAAUCGGGUUCAUAACUGGAUCCGUUGGAAAAGCAACGAUCAAUGAGGCAGAGAAGCUUCAAUGGGAACGUUGUGAUACCUUGGUGAAGACUUGGCUCAUUGCAUCCAUGAGCGAAGGCAUAUCUGGCAGCGUCAAGCACUGCAAGACAGCGAGGAAGAUCUGGCUCGAGCUACAAGAGCGCUUCUCACAAGCAACAACCGUUCAGCUGUUCAAUAUCGAAAACGCUAUCCAUGGUUGUGAACAAGGCACAAAGACAGUCACCACUCACCACUUUCUUCAACAAGCUCAAAGCUUUGUGGGACGAGAGGGAUGCUCUAUAUGACCUAACUUCUUGUGAUUGUGAAGUAGGAAUCAAGAUAAGUGACUAUGUCAAGAAUCAGAAGACAAUGCAAUUUCUCAUGGGGUUGAAUGAGAACUUUGCAACGAUGCGAGGAACUAUAGUGGCCAUCGAUCCGCUGCCGUCAUUGAACACUGUAUUUGCUAUGGCCUUGCGCACCAAAAAGCAAGCAAAAGCUUUUGCUGGCACCAAGCCGGUAUCUCAACCUGAAGGAGCCACAUUCUUUAUGCGAAAUACCAACCAAGAAAAGGAGCAUGUCGAGAAUGAGCAGUGAUGCGCCAAGUGCAACAAGAACAAUCACCUUACUAAGAACUGUAAGGCGCACUUAAGGUGUAGCUUUUGUGGAUUCAAAGGACAUGUAGUCGAAACAUGUCAGAAGAAGAAGGCAGCAAUGGAGGGGCUUCAAGCUUAUGCUAGAGGCAACAAUGCAGCAACGUUUGAUGAAGGCAGUGCUAGGCUUUUCAUUCUCAAAGGAAGAUUGUCAACAGAUCAUGGCGGUGUUGAACAAAAACAAAACAGCGUCCGCGAACCAUGCUGGUAACACCUCACUCUAUGAAAACCUCUUAGGUAAAGCCUUUUGUUUUCGUAAUCAUGAGAAGUCUAGUGUGUGGAUAUUGGACAGUGGUGCCACUGAUCAUAUGGUUUGUAACCCUACUAACCCUACUCUUCUUACUCACAUCAAGCCAACACAAAAUCGUUUUGUCAAACUUCCUGAUGGUAAUACAACUAGGGUCAGUCAUAUAGGCACAAUGGUCUUCUCAUCCAAGUUCGUGUUACAAAAUGUGUUAUAUGUCCCAAUGUUUUAUCUCAAUCUCAUAUCCAUUAGUAAACUAGCGCAUGAUUCGUUUUGUGUCACCAUCUUUCUCAAACAAAUUUGUUUUGUACAGGACCUUCAAUCCGGGAAGAUGAUUGGGAUGGGCCAUGAGAGGGACGGACUAUACUGCCUCGACCAAACCAAGCAAGGAAGAUGUAAUGUUGUUAGCAACAUUUCGAGUGAUCUAUGGCAUGCAUCAAUGCCUCGGUCACCCUUCUAGUAGAGUCUCUUCUUUAUUUCCUUUUCUUUCAAGUAAAACUUGUGAUUCAAACAAGUGUUUAGUAUGUCUUUUGGCUAAACAAACCAGGAAUCCUUUUCCAUUAAGUUCUAUUUCAAGUGAGUCACCUUUUGUUUUAAUUCAUGUUGAUAUUUGGGGAGGAUAUCAUGAACCUUCAAUUUCUGGAGCAAAAUAUUUUCUCACCAUUGUAGAUGAUUACACUAGGUCUACUUGGGUUUACUUGAUGGUACAAAAAUCGAAAGCUCGCAAGCGUCUCAUUGAUUUCAUUAAACUUGUCGAAAAUCAGUUUGACAAAAAUGUUAAGAUUUUGCGUAGCGAUAAUGGUCCCAAAUUUAAAAUGGUCGAUUUUUAUUCUUCAAAAGGGAUUGUUCAUCAGACUAGUUGCGUCAACACACCACAACAAAAUGGUGUUGCUGAACGCAAGCAUCGUCAUUUACUCAACGUCGCUCGUGCUCUUCUUUUUCAAGCAAACCUACCAAAAAUGUUUUGGGGAGAUGCCAUUCUUACAUCUGCAUACCUCAUAAAUCGCACUCCUACACCUUUGCUUUCAGGUCAAACUCCUUUCGAGAGGAUAUUUAACAAACCUCCGAGCUACUCACAUUUAAAAGUUUUUGGAUGCAUGUGUUUUCCAUCUACACACCCAUCUAAGCCAAGCAAGUUUGAUCCUAGAGCAACUACAUGCAUAUUUCUAGGUUAUCCACAAGGGCAAAAGGGAUACCGAGUGUAUGAAAUCAAAACAACACGAGUUUUUGUUUCCCGGGAUGUGACCUUCUAUGAGACCGAAUUCCCUUACCAAACCAGGGUUUCGCAUGAACAUGGACCUUCAGCUAGGGUUUCGAGUGAGCCUAGGGUUACAGAUGAUAUUGAGUUUCCUAGUUCAACUAGGGAUAGUGAUGAUCUUGUCACUCCUAGGGUUUCAGAUACAGUUGAUAUCUUGUACAAUCAUUCUCCUACUCUUCCGCUGCAACACCAAUCAUUGACCAACCAAUCCUUACUGUACCCGACGCACCACCUCAACCUCCAACCUCCCAAAAUCCCGAAACACAAAUUCUUGUUCCAGAAGUCGUUCCAAACCCUGCUCCAUCACCUAUACGUUCUUCUCGACCAACUAGGACACCAACAUACUUGCAGGAUUUUCAUGUUGAGGCAGCACUUCCCUCUCGAUCUCCUCCAUAAUCUUCCAUGGAACAAGGUACUCCUCACUCUCUUUCUAAUGUUUUGUCUUACCAUCAUCUUUCCUCUCCACAUCGAAUCUUUACUGCUAACCUUUCUGUCCACAAAGAACCUACCUCUUUCACACAGGCUGUCCAAAUCUCAGAAUGGAGAGAUGCCAUGCGCAAAGAAAUCGAUGCGCUCCAAAGUAAUUAAUCACACAUGGAGUCUCGUACCCUUACCUCCUCAUAAAAGACCUAUUGGCUGCAAAUGGGUCUAUAAAAUCAAGCUUAAAGCUGAUGGCAGUGUUGAAAGAUACAUGGCCAGACUUGUUGCCAAAGGUUACAGUCAAAUCGAGGGCGUGGAUUAUCAUGAGACAUUUGCACCGGUGGCUAAACUCACCACCGUCUGCGUACUUCUUGGGCUCGCCUCUCUUAAAGGAUGGUAUCUUCAUCAACUUAACGUGAACAACGCUUUUCUCCAUGGCGAUCUCACUGAAGAAGUAUACAUGAAACUUCCUCCUGGAUUUGGAGGAAAAGGGGAGACUAGAGUUUGCCGGCUGCACAAAAGUCUCUACGGUUUGAAGCAAGCUAGUAGGCAGUGGUUCAUCAAACUCUCUAUGGCACUCAAGGCAGCAGGAUUCACUCAGUCAUGGUCUGACUAUUCCUUGUUUGUUAAAGCUCAUUCUGGAAAGCUCACUGCGUUACUUAUGUACGUUGAUGAUGUGAUCUUGGCAGGCAACAGUUUGGAAGAAAUCACAGCUACAAAACUGUCCCUUUCACACCGAUUUAAGCUCAAGGACCUUGGAGAGCUCAAAUACUUUCUUGGCAUAGUGGCUCGGUCAAGAAGAGGGAUAGCACUUUGUCAGAGAAAAUAUGCAUUAGAGAUACUAGAGGACACUAGAUUUCUCGGUGCAAAACCUUCUUCAUUCCCAGUCGAUCAAAACAUAUCAUUGACUCAAGAAGGAGGAGAGCUCCUCAUUGAUCUCUCUCAAUAUCGGCGUCUUGUAGGCAGGUUAAUAUGUCUGACCAUCACAUGGCCAGACUUAGCUUAUGCCAUGCACAUCCUAAGCCAGUUUAUGAAAAAACCACGGCAGCCUCAUCUAGCAGCAGCUCAUCAAGUGCUUCGUUACAUCAAGAAAGCAGCAGGUCAGGGUAUUCUUCUCCCAUCUACAGGAAGAAUUGAACUCACUGCUUAUUGUGAUGCAGACUGGGCGCGCUGCAAGGAUACAAGACGUUCCAUCACUGGUUACUGUGUGUUGUUAGGAGAUGCACCAGUUUCUUGGAGGACCAAGAAGCAGAGCACUGUGGCUCGAUCCAGCGCUGAAGCAGAGUACCGUUCCAUGGCAACAACAAGCUGUGAGGUGACUUGGCUCAAAAGCUUGCUCAAUGACUUGAGAGUGAAACAACUCAAUCCAAUUAGAAUGUACUGUGACAACCAGGCUGCAUUACAUAUCGCAACCAACCCAGUUUUUCACGAAAGGACAAAGCACAUUGAGAUUGACUGCCAUGUAGUUCAUGAGAAGAUUCAAAGAGGUUUGCUCAAAGCUGUGCACAUUGGAACCAAGGAGCAGCCAAUGGAUUUAUUCACUAAGCCGCUCGGAUCAGCUCACUUCAGUACACUACUUCACAAGUUGGGUGUAAUUGAUAUACAUUCCAACUUGAGGGGGAGUAUUAAAGGAAAGGAUCCUACUGUACCUUAACCAUUCAGUAGAUAAUUGGUAGAGUUGUAAUCCCUUACUUUCAGGGUUUAUAGUUUCCUUGUAUAACUAGAGUUAGGGUUUCACCCUUCUAAGGUUUGUGUAUAUAUACCGAUGUAAUUGCACAUCAUUGAAUAAUAAUACAAGCUUAUUCCAGUAUCAAACUCUUUAGUUUGAAUAUAUAUCGGUGAGUAUUGAGUAAGGAAACUUAGAGUGAGAAAACUAUGUCAUAGUUUUACUUGGAUUGGGACGAGCAACAAAGUAUUUUUUUAUAUUUUUUUUUAUGAAUAAGAGCUUUUCAUUAAAUCCAAACCCAAUAACUUACAAAUACAAAGAAUAGUAAGCAAAGAAACCAGGUAAGGGGAAAACAACAGUCUUUGAGAAUAUAUGGUCUGAGUUUACAAGAUUAAAAAAGUAUAUAAAUAGGAAAAAAAAUAAAAAGAAAACAAAAUAUAAAGAAAUAGAUAAUGGAGAAAACCCGAAACCACCAUUUGAAAAAUGAGAAAUUACAUAGAGUUAACAAUGUUAUUGACGACAUUGUUAAAAGCGUGUCAGCUUUUAAACGUCAUGUACCAUUUUGAUUGUUUUGAAAUUUAAACACCAAAAUUUAGAGUAGACAGUUUGUCAUGUACUGUUUUUAAAAUUUUCCCUAUUCUUUUUGGUUUUAUGCUAUUGUCCGUUGUCCCUCAAGUAUACAGCCUUCAAAUUUCAUUUUCUUGUCUUUUAAGAAUUUUUUUUUCCUUAUUUGCCCAAUCAAGUUCUUGGUUUUGUACUGUUGCUUUUGCCAAAGCUGUUGUUCUAUGCCUCUAUGGCAUUGAGGAAUCUUAAUGUUGUGAGAUGCAAUCAUUCAAUGGGGGUGGCCGGGUGGGUGUACGUUUAGCUUCUAUCUAAAUAUGCUAUAAUGUCUUGUGUGAAAAAAAUCACUAACAAUGUGUGUGGAUACUAGUGAGUUUCUGAAAAUUUAAAUAAAAAUAAAAAAUUCUCGAUUUCUUAAGACUAUUUUUCCCGUUUGGAUUCUUAUCUCGUGGAAUUUGAGAGUUUAAACUCCUAACUUGAAUUUCUCACAAAAUAGGUGUCAUUUGUCAAUUCUUUUAACUGAGGUUAGUCUAAAUACAAAUUCUUGUCAUUUUAAAACUCUACCUCAUGAAAUCCAAACAAUAGAAUUAUCAAUUAAUAAAAUUUAAAUUCAUAGGAUUAUGAUUUCCAUGAUUUUAAAAAUUAUAUAGAAAUUGAAAUUACUUUAUCCUAACACAACAUUAAAAGCGUUACUUUUAUCCUAACAUAACGUUAAAAGCGUUACUUUUAGGGUUUUUAACAUUAUAGCUUGCUUUUAACUAAAAGUAAAAGUAUUUAACAUCGAACUUUCCUCAUAUUUCACGUGGGCGGUUUGUAGACUCGUGUUGUUUAUGCUUUUUUUUUUGGUUAAUCGUGUUGUUUAUGCUGUUGAACACUUGAUCAUAAGCAUCUUAUCCAAAUUAUGGCAGAAAUGUUCAUGUUUAUUGUAUAAUUUCACUUUUAGGAUUCAACCAAUAUAUAUACACAAUGUGUACUAAACAAUAGAAAGGUCGUGUAAGGUACUUGGGGACUUUCUGGACUAGAUAAUUAGGAUAGUUUUAACUUAAUUUCAAUGCUAAAGUAAUCUAUAACCAAAAGCCAAAUCUUAGUAAGCUUAUCAUAUAUUCCAUGAGUAUAUAUUAAGCGACAAACUUGCACCCAAUACUAGAAAGGAGUUGAUUGAUUUGGCAGUUGGCACUUGUAGAUAGUAGAUACCUAAUUAUCGGUGUCCCUUCCUCGGUACGUCUAACUCGGUAGUCGGUAGUAUCCUUGAUCCUCCUGCAUGAAGGUGCUACGCUACUGCCCUAUCAUUAACGCUAAUAUAUACUUUAGCUUAGUAUUAACAUGAUGAUCAUUUUGUGGGAUAAUUAAGGCGGGGAAGCUUUUUGGUUUAUGAUUAGAGUUUGAGAUUCUAAAACGGGAUUGAAAACGUCUAAUCUUUGCCACUGCAUCUAUCGAUCGGUUCUAUUAGUUCAUAGGUUUAUGAGACCACUGAUGCACAGUCAUAGUUUUUCAUGUUCUAUAUAUGGAUGGCUGGCAUGUUAGUGAUAAGUACCAAGAGGCCAUUAGGCAGACCAAAACAUCAAAUGAUAGUGAAGAAAGUUGUUUUCAUCUUUGAAUAGAAUAGCACGGAGCAUAUAAUUAUGAAAAACGCUUCGUUCUGUUGGCCGACAACAUAUAUUGGCCUUUUGUUGUACUCUAAUCUUUAGGCUAGCCACUAUGGACGGAGGGAAACUGUUUGUGCUCAGAUUAUGCGAGAUGCCUAAUUAGUUCCUCUAUCUUCCACACUCAAAUCGAUUCCUCAGAGAAACGAAACCAGACCACACUUUGCAUCUUAGGUCAUAAAAGGCAACAGAAUGAACCAGGGAUUGGCUUCACUGGUUAAGACUGUGUUUCUAACUUCACGGUUCUGUUCUUUUGUCUAGUUUUCAUGCUUUAUUUUCAGUUCUUGUGUGUUUUAUGUUGUUUCUUUGUCUCUGGUUCUCUCUUGCUGUAAGGUCCUCUGUUUCUAUCAUCUAUUGAAUACCAAAAAUAAUAGAAACUUCACAGAUCGGCCCAGACCGAAGCAUGCAUUGAUGAUAUUAUACUCGCACCCGUGUAAACAAGAUUGUGCUUCAUCCGGAUAGAAAUUUUGCUGUAUUUUUCCCUAUGUUGCACGGACACGGCGACACGGUAAAACUUAAAAACUGAGUUUCCGACACGGCUUGGACACGAAAAAUAAAUAAUAUAUUUAUGUAUUUUUAAUACAUACAAAAUAUACUACAAUAUUAAAUAAGUUCAUUACAUUACCUAAAUCAUGUUCUAAAUUCAAUCUUUUUUCUUUCUUUUUUUGUCUAAAUUCAAUUCAUUGCAUAAGCAUAUUAAAAUAACAUUAAAGAGAAUCAAAUGCAAGUCAUUAAAGAGAAUUAAAUGGGCAGUUCUGAUGUAGGUUGGGAAAAAAAAGGCAUCAACUUAGUAACACAAUAGCCCUUUAACACCUAAUAAAUAAGAAAAUUUCAAUCAUUCCAUAAUCCAUCUAAAUCUUUUUCUUUUUAAAAAAAAAUUUAAAAUUUAAAAGAGUGCGGCUAUUAGGACCUCCAAGUUUGCUCACUUGACCUCACUGUAUUGUGAAUUAUUAAAUGACAUAUUUAUCCUCUUACACAAUGACUGUUAAGGACACUAAUUAUACAAAAAGUAAUGUUACAUUUAUUCUCUCUAAACUUUCUAAUUCAAUAAUAGUGGAUUGCCUUUUAUUAUUUUCCUUAUUGAUUUUUAUUUUCUAGUUUACCAUACUUAUUGAAACAUUUAUAUAUUUAUAUUAUCAUACAUGUCACAUGCUUAUACAAAGUGAAAAAAUAUUUUUACAAAAAAUUAUGAUCUAUCAAUUAUUAAAAUAUUUUAUCAUCAUGACUAUAAAAACGAAAAAUGUGUAUAUGUAAAAUAGAAAUACAAAAAUAACAAAAAUAUAGAAUAGUUCAUGUAAGAACAUUCUUUUGAUGACCGAUAGAUAAAAAUUUGAAACACAAUAUUUCUUCUUCUUUUUUUUAAUUUUUAAGAGCAAAUAGUAUAUAUUAAUCAUGAUUCGAAUGAACUUUUCUCGAAAAUGGAUGUCAUUGAAAAUUAUUUCUUACAAUUUGAUCAAAAAAUGAAUGUCUCUAGGGACAUUUUAUGCAAAAUAAAAAAAUACAAAAAAUAAAGAAAAUGAAGAAAUCAAGGUCGGGAAUGAAGAUUUGCGUUAAAAAGAAAAAAGAAAAAAAAUUAAAGAAUGGAAGUCGGGAAUGGAUGUUCGCAUGCAAAAAGAAAAAGAAAAAAAAGAAUUGGAGGUAUAGUGAGUGAAUAAGAGGUGUAAUGAGUAAUAUACUAAUAUAUAUGUGAAUUAUAUAAACAAGACUAUUUAAGAAUUUGAAAGGAGGUCUAAUAAGAAAAUGUUUGUAUUUAAAAGUAAAAUGGAGGUGUGGAGAGAAUGAGAGGUAUACUGAGCAAAUUUAAAGGUCUCAAUAGCUGCACUCAACUUAAAAUUGAUGAUGUGACAUGUUUAAGGCUGAGGUGACGUGUCGGGACGUGUCGAAAAAAUCAACAUUUUCCAACACACCACAUGACGUGUCAGACACAUGUCAGAGCCAUGUCACCGCGUCAGACACUCCGACACUCCAGGGAAUGAAGUGUCCGUGCAACAUAGAUUUUUCCCAAGUAUUUGGUUUUCUGUAAAAGAUUAUAAUUAAAUUAAAUUAAUAUGGAAAUCUUUUUCAAAUAGAUUCAACCUUCUUCACAAACAUUGUAGGUGUGCACUGAAAGUACAAAGUUCACGCUCAUGACACCUUUGCACAUACAAGGAUCACAACCAGCAUAAAAUAUAAUAGAGCAGCUGACUAGAAUUUCUGGAUCACUACUGAAUUGGCAAGACCUGCCUGUUCUAUUGUUUGGGUCGGAUCAUUGAGGAUUUUAGGAGGGAACCCCAUCACCUGCAACUGAUAAUUACUCGGACUCCCAGGCCUAGAUGUCUCGACAAAGGUGCGAAUGUCACUGAUGGUGUGAUGGUAGUUAAAUUGUGCAAUCAUACGGGUGCCAUCAGCUAGCCUAAGCUGAACUGAUGUGGUUGGCAAAUUUUCAUCCACAACUAGGCCGAGGGAUGGGGUUGGACCAGUACUUAGAGGAGUUGUUGAAGAGGUUGGCUCAGAAGGCACUGCUCCUGAGCUGCUACCUAGAGUUCUUCCAACACCCUGAAAUGCAACUUGACGCUUCACCGCUUCCUGCAAAGUGAGAUAUAUCAAGGCCUUGUAAGUAACAAAUUUAGCAAUCCCCCUAUGAAACAGGCCAAGUUGAAUGCAUUUGACAUUAUUGAGAUGCAUUUGCAGAUUUCAUUAGGAACUUUCUAUUACAAUACUUUUGCAUGGGGGUUACAUUGUCACGCACAAAGUAAAUCUUUUAGAGAGAAUACUCACAGGGUAUUUCUCGUUCCGCCUAAUCAGAUUGACAUGAACUGCAGUACUUCUGUCUUCUGGUUCUAACUCCCUUGGACAUUCAGAUUUUCGGAUGCUCUGUGUUGAGACAGGAAAAACUUUAGCUGUAAAACUAAAAAAUCACUGCUGAGAGUACCAAGAAAACAGAAACGGUUCUAGAGAUAAAAAAGAACUACACACGUCUAAAAGCACAUAAAUCCACAGGAGUGAUCAGAGUCAUCAAAUUAUGUAACCAUAGCAGCAGAAGCUAAGAGUUUAGAGGCAUAGUUUGAUGUACGGCCAAAGUUUAAAGGAAAUCAAUCGUCAAUAUCAUGGCCAGCUAUGAGGGGAUCAAAGUGCCUACCACCCCAAAUAUUUGGACAUCCCAAAAUACUUGUUUUAAGGGAUGCAUAAUUUUAAAACUCAAGUCUAGCUUACACACUAAACAUGUAAUGACUAUUUAACAGUCCCACACUCCUUUAUACGUAUUCUAACGAGUACAUGUCUUCUGCAAGCAUAAGUGGACUCUAGAGUGUUAACAACAAUUCUCAGAAUACAACCAAACAUCAUACAUUAGCUAUGGAUAUAGGGUCCAACUUAAUUGGCGCUCCUCAAAUCCCCAAAAUUCCGACACAACUCCGGAUCACUAAGAGUCAUUCUACAUCCAUCAUAGUUUUUUUCUAUCAGUAAAACUUCCAAUGCCAUUACCUCUAAGAACGGUGCAUUUUCAGGAUCUUCCAACCGCCUCAACGGUCCAUCAUUUACACUGAAACCAUCACUCCAGAAAAUGAUGUUAUGCACAACAGUCUCGGGCUGCUGCGGAGCAGACUGUAUAGUCUCCCCGGAGAGUAGUCUACCCGUUCCGGCAAAGCUCCUCGAGCUCGAGGAUGCAGAAGAAGGAUCAAUAGGUCCCUCCACCGCUCCUAACUCCCUAGCUUGAUUAAAGAUCGAAUCCACAUCGUUGUUGCCUUUCGUCGGAUCCUGAACCAGCAUUCCACUGAAGAAGAAAAAAAUAAAAAUAAAAAUUGUACCCACAAAUAUUAAACUCUCUCUCUUCACACAUUUCACUCGAAACCAUCACAUCUUUAGAAGAGAAAGUAAAACCGCAGAUUUCGGAAUCUAAUACAAAAGAUUUGCUACUCACAAGCAUCGCACGAACAAAACAGAUCAAAUAGAAAAAGCUAAACUAGAAAGAAUAAGAAUUAGAAUUUGGGAGUACGGGAGAAUCGAAAGGAGGGACCUUUUCUCGCCGCCGGUGUAAUACUCCUGGGGAGCAUCGGAGUCGCUGUCGGAGUCGGCGGUGGGCCGGUUCAGAUCGGAAAGUGUACGGAUGCCUCCGGUUCGGGGUUUCGAGGGUUUCUUGUUGUCCUUGGAGGCCAUUGCUAGCUGAGAUUGAGCGAUCUCGAUUCUUGACUUCAGCUAUGUGAGUGCGUCAUUUCCCCUAAAUAAUGUAUUCCUUCCACGCGCUCGUCAGAGGCGCGUGUAGAACCUCGCUCCAAAUAGCGGGUAAAAAUGAGGUUCGCGCGGUAAAAUGUGUCCAUUUUUGUGCGAUCAUUGAAAUUUCAUAGUGGUACGAUCAAAAUUUAGAAUUUCUGGUUAGAUUUAUGUUGCUUAAAUUUUCUUAAAUAACUUAUAAUCAUUGAAUUGAAUACAAUCUAAGACCGUCAUGUCAUCCUUAUUCUAUCUAAUGAUUAUAAGACAUCUAAAUAAAUUUAAGCAACUAAAAUGAAAAACAUAAAAGUGUUACAGAUCCGUUACAAUCUCACUAAUGGUAAAAAACAUCAUUAAAAUGAAAUAAAAAAGAUCAUUAAAAAUAAUUCAGGUCGAAAAUUUCAACUAAAGCUCACUAGAAUUCAGAUCAUUAAAAUUAAGCUCUCAUGCUUGUACUGUCAACAAAUGCGAUCCCAAUUUUAAAAGGGAAUGUACUCAUUGAUGAAUGAUAGAACAUAUAAACAAUCCUCGUAGUUAGACUAAGGGAUGGAGGUUCUCUCCCAUGAUUAAUCCCUAAUGAAAGGGAUGGGCAUUAUGAUAUACAAGCGUACAGUACUAUAGCUCAUCUAGUAGCUUCAGUCGAGUACAACGCGGGCCUUCUUUAUGUCGGACUUGGAAUUUUGGGUUUGUUGGCGCGGGGAGCGGAGUAAACCCUUGUGACGAUUCAUGGCACUCGCUAUGUAUUCCGGCAGAGGAGGCAGACGGAUUUGGUCUCCGUCUUUGGGAACUAGUCCUCGGAUCAGCUGUCAAAACCAGUAAGAGAAGUUUGUAAAGAAUGAAGACUGCUGGGAAGGAGGUUCUGAAACAACGAUAUACUAUUACCUUUGAUGCCCACGACCGCUCUGCUUGUUGACACACGUCUCUGAUAUCCCUUCCGGACAUCCUGACAAUGGUUGGGGACGAUUAGACAACGGUUAACGGUUAUGAGUUAUUUUCAGUUGAUUUCAAAAAUCUCUCAUUAUCAGAUGGAACAGAGAGAAGGAACAUGUGUACAAAUGCUGACAAGGGGAUGAAUAUUUAGACAAAUUAAAUUUCAGUGGAACUUACUCUUCUGUUACUGUUGCCAAUUCAUCUAAUUCAGGUUGAGUUAGAUGCUUUGCAUAUUGAGCUGCUAUUUCCUUACGAUUUUGAUGAUCAGGUAGGCCAAAUAGGAUAAUUGAAUCAAACCGACUGCACAGAAGUGAAAAAAGGUUAGUGGAGAAUCCUGGAAAGUUAAGAGUAGUUUCAUUUGCUACAUCUUCUACACGAGAAAACUAAAACCAAUAUACCUGAUCAAGGCCGGGUCAAGGUCUUGCUUCCUAUUUGUCGCAGCAAUCACAACCACUUUCUUAUCCUGUUCAAAUCCAUCAAUCUGCAUGGGAAAUGGUUUAUUCAAUAAGGGCAUCACAAUAGCUUCGUAACAGUCUGUCCAAGUGGAUCAUAGAAAGAAAAAGUCUCAGCUCUCUUUAUUGAGGUUUUGAACCUAGUAGGAAGUUGGAGCCACCGUUUGGAUCAUGCAACCCUUUCGCUGAAUGGUGACUCUAAAAUUUUCUCAAACCAUUUGAUUAAUACGUGUUAAAAGGUUCAUCCUCUUCAUAUUGAAAAGCAAUAACAAUCCAAUUAUACCUGCCGCAGCAAAACUGAUAAAACUCUCCGUGUGGCUUCAUGCAAAUCACUAUCUCGCGAAGUAGCAAAGGAGUCAACCUGGAAUUGCAUCGAGUAGGAAGUCAUGUAAAAGUCUACAAAAUAUAAAAUACAAAUAGAAUACAAAAAAUAAAAAUAUUAUUGGUUGCAGAGGUAUCACAACAACACUUGGAUGCAUAUUUCAAAGGUUGGCACAAAGCAGUAAUUACAUCAAUUACCUCAUCAAGAAAAAUGAUAGCACCAUUUGGGAGUUCAUUAGCAAGUGAAAACACCUUGCCUAAUAAUCGCUCACUCUCACCAUAGUACUUUGACAAGAUAACCUCAAGGGGCACAUAUAACAUUGGGACGCCCUGCAAAAAUACGCUACAUUAACUUUUCUUUUCUUUUCCAAUUGUUCUGGCAGUACAGUCAUUUGUUUAAAGGGAACUUGCAUUUCAGCUGGGUGCAAAACCUUUGCAAAGAUAACUCCGCUCACUCAAAAAAGAGUGAUCAUCAAAUCAAGCAAGGCAUGUGAUAUAUUCUACAGAGUGAGACAAAUCAGAACUUUCCAUAUUUUCGGAAAAUGGGAGUUCAUCUACAUGCAAAAUCUUGACCAGAAAUAUUGAUAGUCAAACCAAGCAAGUCCUUGAAAAAUUGAUAGUCAAAUCAUAUGUAUACAAGAAACAAAGGUGAUUAUGCUACUGGCAUGGAAUGUUAAUUUCAUUAACUUACUAAUGUUUAGGCGUUGACAACUAUGAUCUUUAAUUAAGAUAUAAGGUAAACUAGUUAUUAGACAAAAGAAGAAAUGCCUAGGAGCUCACCGCUUGAUUAGCAAUGACACGAGCAGAAGAAGUUUUCCCUGUCCCUGAAAUUUAAGAAAUGUUCUAAGUUUGACAUGUGUUAAUAUUUUCACAUGUUUCAAAAACAAGCACAAAAGUAUGGAUAUCUCACAUGCUCGUAUAUAAAAAUAAAACUAAGUUGUUCAACACAGCCAACUUUUGAUGAAAAUUUUAUCUGUUCAACUCAAAUAAAAGGACUGUUACUACAAGAAAUACUGACGAAAAAUAAUUAAGGGGACUUUUCCCUAACAUGUUUGUACUAAAUAUACUCCCGGGAAAUAUCUGCUCCAGGUAUAGUGCUUUAGAGCACCAAAAGAACUACAUGCUUCUUUAGACAAAUGGAUCAUUACAUGCUCUAAACACAAUCACAAACAAGAUUCAGAUAUACAUGAAAUACAUGAAUCCUCUAUGUCAGUAGCUUAGUUCAGUAAAGGAAUCAUCUCAAAUAUAUUGAAUAAUGUUUAAUCGAAAGCACCUGGUGGGCCUUCGAAAAGUACAGCUCGAGGUCUGUUUGACUCAUAUUUGCGACGAGUUCCACGAGCAAUAUCAUCAUAUGUUUCAGGACUAAGCAAAGCCAGUAGUAUCGUGUCUUCUAUCUGUCUACAACAUGAGCAGUGGCAGUUCAAUAUAGGUACUAUAAUUAGGUAUUCUUGAGCACUAAUGCACCCAUAUGAGCCUACUCAAACAUAAGCAAUCAAGAGAUCAAGACAGAAAAUAGGUAAGAAAUGAACUCAUUUAUAUUUUGUAUCACCAAAUAUGAAUCAGUGAUAUAAAAAUAAAACUCGAUCAUAACAUCAAUGUUAUUGCAAGAUAACAAAAGGCAAUUGAGAUUCAUGCACAAGAAACAAUUUCAUCUCUCAUACUCAAUAUCAGAUAUGCACCCUCAGUGAUUGCUUAAUUGACUGCUUUUUAAUGUGACAACCUCGGAAAGCAGAUAUGUUCAUUAGUUGCCUAACGCCUGAAAAAGUCAUUGUUUACCACCAGAAAGUGGUGUUGCUAUUGCUGUUUGCUAGAGAUGAUAACAACUCACAUCCCACUUGAAAAGAAAGACCCAAAAAUCAAAUUUGCACAUCUAAACAAAAUGUUAAAACAUCAUGGAUUUUUGUAUAUAUCAUCACUUACCUCUUUUGCAGAUCAUAUCCAGCAAGAUUAUCCCAUGAAAUAUCUUUGCUUGCAGAACUCACAUUGGAUUCAUCAACUCCAUAAACUCUUACUCCCAUGGACUCUAGACUGGUUAUUAAUUUCUCUAUAGCUGAAGUUUCUGCACUGCCUUCCCUCGCUCUUCGUUUUGUGGUAGAAGUAUCAUUUUUCUGGUGGAUGAAGCUCUUCUGUGCCCCAGCUAGUUGUAAAGCUGAUAUUAGAGCAUCAAGUUCUUCGAGACUCAAGCUGCCCUGCUUCAUAAAUUCAAUUUCCUGCAAUAAUUUAUGUUGACUGAUAUGAAAACCCCAUAGCAACAGCUUCUUUACUUUUGUAAUAUUGAAGGAGCUCAAAGUGAAACCAAAUGUUUCAAAGAGAAUACUUCCAUAAACUGCAAAAAGCUAAAGACUCACGGUUUUUUCUGUUGAGGAAAUGACUGAACGGAAAACAAGGAUGUGCAGAUCUCGCUCAUGCUCAUUCACGUCUUUUACUUCCCCCUGAUCACCUUCAGUUUUCUUCUUUUUCUCUGGGUGCAUAAGCAUUAGUUGCCAAGCAACUCCACUGACAUAGUUUACCCAAUAUAGAUAACACUGCUUAGUACAUCUUGCUUAAUGCAACAAUAAAGCCAAAUCGCUCAAAAAGGUGCAAGCCAAAAUAUAAAGGUAAAAUUGAGUAUACAUGUAGGACACUAGGAAUUAAUGGUCUAACACUACCUGUCCCAAGCGCGUAAUGAUAUAUCUGAACCACCGCCAUUCUCUUCAACUUUCAAGCCAAGAUUAGAAGCAAUAUUUGCAAUCACUUGUGAAGCUUCACAUGAAGGAGGAAUUUGGAACUUGACGGUUACCUAUACCCCAUUAAAAGCUCAUUAGUGUUCAUACUUGAAGUAAUAGCUACACACAGAUUCUGAUAUGAGAAGAAACCAUAUAUAUACAAAACUCAUGUAGCUCGUAAGACAGUUAACCCUUUCAAAACUCAGUAUACACUAUAUGAGAUGAUGAGGCACUCCUCACAGUUUAGGACAUCAAAUUUAGAAACCGAGUCAGCGUAAUGACUAGCAAGAAUUGCACAGCUAACUUUCUUUUCUUCUGUUAAUGAUGUCUCCUUUGAAGUUUAAGAAAAAACCACUUCUUAAUAUCCUCAAAUUACCAAAGUUGCACCCUCUUGACAGUAAGAAGAAUUUUCUUUUACUACCUACUGUACCUGGCCGUUUACUAAGACUUAAGAAGAGGACAUGGCUAACAAAUGCAUGUGCGGGUCUAAGCACAUUUAAACAGAAACAACCAGACAUGUAAGGCUGUAGCAUUUCACUAACCUUUUGCCCCUUGACAGAAACAGUAAAGUUGGGAUAAGUACCACGUCGCAUCCCUUUACUCUUGAGCCGGUCUUCAAUAUCUUGUCUCUGUUUCUUGGCAAUGUCCUCCACAUUGUUACUCACAGGGGCAUCAGCAGGAAAACCCUGCUUCGAAGCAGCCUGCAGAAACCAAAAUCAACAAGCAAACUAAGUUCCACACGGCAGGCGCAUCAAAAAUUCACAAAAUCCUCCAACAAAAAAUGCAAAUGUACCUCCUCAGCAUCUGCAUAAGCCACCUCCAAACCUCCAAGUCCAAUCAAACCGGCCAAAACAGCUGGAUACAUGAGAUACCGCCCGCCGGGACCACCCCGGCCUGGCACAAACUUCGGCACUUGAAUUUCGGAUGCAUCGGAAUGAUAUGGCUGCUCAAAACACCCUGCAUUUUCAUCAAUCAAAAGCAUAAACAUCAAACCUAAUCUUUCAUAGAACUCACAGAAACUGAACAUAAACACAUCGACAAGAACAAGCAGCUACCACAUUACACUAAAUCACUAGCAUCAAAUUCAAAUAUACAUGAACCAUUCUUGGUCAUAUUGAUAUAGUUCAAAUCAUUCACAGAAAACAUCACAAACGACAUGUCGCUCGUUAUAAACAAACGACAAUAAUGCGGGCUAGGCGGAGAUGUCGUGCGUUAGGCGGUGACAGGUGGCGUGGGCCUAUACGGGGUAGGGGUCCACCCUUUAAAAGGAAACAAAACAAAAAACUAAAACUGAAGCAGUUCGAGCUAGUGUUCUCUCACUCCGCCGUGCUCCACCGCCCCCCGACGCUCUACACCGGCGGAUCCGAUGGCUCCGCUUCCCGCCUCGGUAACCUCACCCUCCCUCUCUCAAUUUCAAGCUUGAGUUUGUAUGAAUGAAUUGAAUUUCUGUAGGAACUAUAUGAGAAGGCGGAAGAGAUGGUGAGGAACUUACGGUGGCAGAGAAGGCGGACGUCACGUGAGCAGGCACGUGGAGGAGGGUUUAGGCUUUGGGGGACUGACCACCGUGUACGAGCUGUUCUGAGUAUAAUUCGUCGGAAAAUGGUCAUGGUUUCUCCCUCUUGAGCUUAUAGAGUUGAGAAUGACGAAUUGGGCCAAAGCUUAUAUAUAGGGCGCAGCACCGCCAUACGAAGGCGGUGAUGCUUGCGUUGAAUGUGGGCCGGAAAGCCUUAUGUUUAAGAUGUGUCCAUCUAUUAGUUGGGUCAAGUUUGCCCGCAGCCCACAAUUACCGGGCUCUCUUUGAAGAUUUAAGAGUUUUUCUCGAACUUUUACAAAUUUUUUUAUUACUUGAUUCGAAUCUAUAUGAGCGAUGAAUCAAUUAAACAAUUCAAAUGUUACAACUAAUCUUUUGUGAGUCGAACUCACGACCGCUCAUUUAUAAAAUAAUACUGGGUAGUUUCGAUUUAUUUAACAUCUUUCAUAUUGAGUCUGCUAAUAUAUACGUUCAUUUGUUUCAUUAUUUCAAAAUGAAGAAGAGUUGAAAUGUUGAAUUGUGUUUUUAAUCAAAACCUAAUGUCAUAUUGUACCAAUAUGCAGGACACCAUCCACAAACUUUGAUGCCUUGUCAUUCCUCCCCAUACAAGAAUGUAGUCAUUGAUAAUAGACCAUAUGCUGAAAUGCACAAUCGUUGUUGUUAAGCUAAUACCAUUGAUAAUAGAUCUCUACUUUAUGUAAGAAUUCACUUGUUUGUUAAGCAAACUACCAUUUUUCACUUGUGUUGUGAAAUUAAACGUAGCAAAGAGUCGUGUGUUUUGAAUGGAGACAUAGAACAUCAGUAAGAACUCGUUUUUGUACUAAUUUUAAGAUGGUUUUAACUUGAGAGUAUGACUCCAUUUUGAGAAGGAUGAGUUUACCAUAACAGUCUAAACAGAAGAAGCCAUUUAUAUUUAACGCACUGAAACAGAUUGACAUAUGAGUUCACACAAUUUCUGGAAUUCAUGGCCUGGUUUUUGUUUGGCCGUAUUAUAGAAGGAUCAGAAAGCUGGUUUGGGAUUUGGAAACAUGUGUCCGCCGUUCCCAAAGUUGAAAGUGAAAACCAUGUAUUCCCGUGCAGAUGUUCAAAACCACCCCAAUACAAAAACCUUUCUUUUAAACUACACAAACUGCCAUCUUGUGUCAAUUUCCCAUACACUUUCCACAAAAUCUGCUCCAUUGUCUUCCUCUUCAUAGUCCAUACAAGAAAACUUCAUCAAGUUAGAGAGUAAAAAUGAGAAAUCUAAACUCGGAAUCUCAAAGAACAAGCAUACCAGUAUAUGUUUUUAACCACCAUCGUUACAUGUCUCAAAAAACAAGCAUACAAGUACAUGUUCUUAACCACUAUGGUUACAUGUCUCAAAGAACAAGUUCGUUCGGAACUAGUGGGCUACCGUUAACAACUAUGGAUAUGAGUUACCAGAGCACGAUCAUGGGGGGUUACCAGAGCACGAUCAAAAGCCUAGAACUUGUAGAAAGUAACCAACUUUAUACAUGGGUAAAAACAUCACGCUACAAAGGGCAGAGUGCAUCAUCACUUUUGAGACUACUGGGUUUGCUUUCUAAUGCUUGCAUAUGAAGUCAAGCUAAUACCUACUGGUACCAGAAACAAUGAUGUAUCCCAGUCAAUAAAGUCAAUGCUAGCUUCAAAGCUACACAUCCUAAUAGAAUAAGCACAUUCAAACUUGAACUGAAUAUUAAACCCAGAUGAAUUAUAAAAAAUAAAAAUAAAAACCCAGAUGAACUAGCACUUUCAGUUCAUCAUCUUUUAGAGCAGAUAAUUCCAGAAAAUCCAAACAAAAGCCAACCCAUUUCUUCUGUCAACGAAAGCUCUACCUUUUCCAUUUAAUUUACAUGUGAAAAAGAAACCCUUUUAGAGUUAAUAAUGAGAGAAUGAUGCUGAUUACUAGCUUAGUACACCUUCUUAGAGAAAAGGCUGCGCAGAUUAAAAAGAUUACUACCAGCCCCAGCAGCAUUACUAACUCCACCACCGUCAGCGGCGGCGGCGCCACGGUUGUUGGUGUUGCUACCUCCACGGACUCCUACAGCACUAUUCAUGACGUCAUUCCUACAACUCAUCAAAUGGCUUCUAUACCCAAUACAAGUUGGAACAUUCAAGUUCAAGACUCUAGGCUUUGCACCACCUCCGCCACCUCCUACGGUGGUUUUACUCCGGCGAGUUUCGGGCGCUUCUGUUUUGGCGCUUUUUUCGGCAUUUCUGUCGGCGGUUUUGCUCAAACCGGAGGCUCCACGCCGGACUUGCCAAACCGGGCUGCUCCGACCCAAGUGGACCCCGCCCCGACCCGGACUCGCCGGCCACUUCCUCGUCGACUUGGACUCGCCCGUUGAGUUGCUCCUCGAGCACGGCGCGCUGUUCACCUUCCGGGUCCCCGGAGCCCCGAAAGCUGAUUUGGGUCGGGUACAAGCAUUCCCGGCGGAUCUGCUCCGCGAAAACGGCCACAGAUUUAUGUUCAGCUCCGCCGAGCUAGCUCCGGCGGCUGCUCCGCCGCCGCUCUUCCGCUCCUUCUUCUUCUCCUUCUCACCGCCCUCGCUCUUCUUCUUGAACAUGUCCCUCCACCGCUUCGAAGCCGUCAUCGCCGGAGCUCCGGUCGCCACCUGGGCUUCGGGUUCUGGGUCCGGAGCAGAAAUCUCCUCCGGGUCGGGUCGCGGGUUCGGGUCGGGCGGGUUUUUGUAGGCGGGGACGAGGCGGAGUGGGAGAAUGACGCCGUCGACGAAGAGCUCAUCGGCGGAGACGAGAUCAGGUUGCGGGCAAGACGGGUUCUGCAGCCUCCAGAAGUCGAAUUCCGGCGAGCUGGAGUCGGUGGUGGCUCGUCGUCUUCUCUCGGUUUUGGGUUUGAAUCUACGGCUGUCUUCCAUCGGAAAUUAAAGAGUAAAGUAAGAGACAAAUUCUAGUUGGGAAAAUGGGAAGCUCUGGAAAUUGAGGGAGCGUGGUGAGGUCAGGAAGGGGAGUGAGUUUCAGAGAGAGAGGAGCAAGAAGGUUAGGACCUACAAGAACAAAAGAAUAAAGAAAUGGAGGAGGAGAAUUGGGGGGUAUUUAAUAGAGAACCAGAGAGACAGAGAGAAGUGUUGGGUCACUUUGGUUGAUGGGGACGAUGGCUUUUGGGUCCAAGUUUUAUGCAGGGAAGUAGCAACCUUGUGUGGUUUUUAAAACCUCUGGAAAAAAUCAGUAGGGUGAUGCCUGCUUCUGUGUCUCUGAUUAGUAAAUACGUGUGCCCUACGAACUCGUAUACGUUAUUUUGGCUGCAUCACCCAUUGUUACCAUACCAAUGAGGUGAGGUGUUUACUCUGUACAAGUAUACGACAGGUUCGUAUACGAAUAAACACCAUUGUUUGAGUGAUUGUGGUUUAUUAGGUAAAUUUUCACACGGUGAUUAAUGAGGGUGGACAAUAAUUAGAAGAUACAUGUAUGUAUGAAUGAAUGAAUAUACCAUUACGCUAUUACCAAAAUUGCUAAUUAUGUGGAUUUUAGGGUAGUAAAUUACCUUCCAUGUUCAUAAUGUACAAUGAUGUGGCUCUUAGAUCUUAAUUCGUGUAUCUGAUAUGAUUUGGGUUUAAUUAUUUUGAUUCGAUUACACUAGACUAAAUGAUUAUAUGUUAAUGAAAUACAUGUACGCGUACAGGUUUAUGAAAUACCAUAAAUUCUUAUUAGUAUUUAUCACAUCGUCUAGAUUCAUAGGAAUUUUCCCAAUUAACUUACCAAUUACUUACCUCCUCGCCAUUAUUGGAUAGUUAAUCUGUAUUUGGUUUUGAUGAUGAUAUCCCAAUUAUUAAGAAAGUGCUAAUUUUAUCAAAGACAAAAAUACUUCCAAUAAAAGGUGAUAAAUUAACGCCAAAUAAUGCUCACAAUGUGAAGUAAGGCUGAGGUCAUAUGAAGUUGUCUCAUGCAUGUGGGGCUUUAAGAUUUCAAUUUUAAUUUGUGCCUACCCAAAUUAAUCAUGUAACGGCAACUAUUCCAUCUUUAGUGUCAUUCUUAGAGUUGACAUUCACAGCCAUUAUACUCCCUACUGUGUAAUAAACAGUUCUCUGAUCCAAAAUCAUCAUACACAAUCAUAUUACUCUAUAAUUGGAUUCAACAUCCAAUAUGUGCGCAUUCAUGUACCGCGGAUGAUCGAGAAUCUUUCUAUUAUACAUUUUUUUGAAGGAUUACCGUCGACCCGAAAGUUAAUAAGUUAGUUACAACAUUUAGUUACAUAUAUGUCUUUGAUUAACAAAAUUAUCAGUUCGACCAACAAAAAUUAUACGUCAUAAGAUCAACCUAAACGAAAAAGAUAUAUGUAAGCCGGAUAUAGUUAGUUACAAUGUCACACCAUAUACUAAGUACCUCAUUUUAUCGAUUUAAGAAAAUUGUGAGAGUUUCACUGAAAUAUCUGCUUCAUGCUUAGGGAUUUUUCAAAUAUAUAUCUUCCCUAUAUCAGCUAUAUCAAAAACUAUUUUAGCCAUUAAUCAUUGUCAUCACAAUAAGCACCCACGGUGGUACAUGUUCCACACAUCACGCUGAAAUCUCAGUAACAUCCACGGAUCCACCACUCUACAAUAGACAGAAGACGUCCAAGUCGAUCACACAGACGUUUGAAAGAGAUGAAAACACAAUGAUCGAUCCACCUGGAAAUAAAUACAAAAAGUUAUCGAUAUAGUUUUUUGGCCUGUAUUAUCUGAAGCUUUGCUCUCCAACCAUGCAAUGCCACAAGCAACAGUGAAUAAAAUAAGAUCCCACGGUUGGAGUUUUGGAGUUUUGCAUUUUGCAUUCUCUCCGCAAAACAAUAAUAAUACCCAAAAAUUUGCCAAUAUUCCCGAUCAUAAUACUGCUACUUAGGUAAGCAUUUGGCUAGCUAUCACAGAUUCAUUGCCAACUAUAUUAUUGAGUAGGUGGAACCGUGGAACUGAACCUGAUGGCAAAGAUGGAAUUGAUAUUACGAAGAUGAAGAAGAUGAAGAUGAUGAUGAUUGAUGGGUAAGUAGGUGGUGGAGUGUAGUAGUGAAGGUGGCGAAUCCGGUGGACCUGGAAAUGAUCGAGAUCGGCAGAACAGAACAGAACGAUCGGGGAAUGCAUGGCUGAAAAGGGUUUCGUUUCCCUGCUGCUGUCAAUGGAGUUUGUUCGUAGGGAAAAUGAUAGGGCCAUGUGAAUUUGUGAAAAAAGCAAAAAACGACUUAUCCCAUCAAUGCUUUUGGGUCCCCAAAUCCAAACACAGCACUAACGUUCCAACUACUUUCGGGUUAGUGUUCUAGCUCCAUGUUAAGUAGCACAAACCAACAUAAAUACGUAUGUGUAUUAUUCGAAUAAUUUUGAUCUGAUAUGGUUGUACGUAUUUAGUAUGUGCUUCUCUAUGUAUGUUUUGGACUAUUUAGUGUGUGGUCCAUUUGCCAAAAUCCUAGAGGCUUCCAUGACCUACUAAUCCAUCUUCACUAUUGUGUUUGGAUUUACAGGUAGGGUGGGAUUGCAUUUGAUAUGUGUAGGUUAGUAACAUAUUGGGAUGUGUUUAGUAUGAGUGUAAAUGGUGUUCAAAUAUGGUAGAAACCCUAAUAGUGCAUUGAUGGACAUGUUGAUAUUUAUAGCUUGACCUACAAGUGAGAAUUUGAUUAGGGAGAAUUGACAAAUCAAUCCAAAUUAGUGGGGGGAACCCAGCCUGUCAUGCAUGAAGAUCAUAGGGUUCAUGAGGAGGACAAGAACACAUGGUAUAUAAUGUAAGAUGGACCAUAAGAGGUUGCAUUUUCCUUAAUUCUAUUCUCUUGUUCGGUUUAGGGAUUAGGUGAACUCCAUUAAUAUUCCCAAAUAUUGCUAGAUGCCCUUUUGGGGUGUUGACAGCACAUACACAAAACCAUGAGCUAUGACCAUGCAUCUCUCUCGGCUUAAAGAUUUAUAGUUUAGGAAAGCAGAAAAGACUCGAAGAGAUAAGCUACAUGACGGAGAUGAAGUUAUCUAUUUGAGUAUGGCUGACUUUACAAUGCUUAGCUAUGAGUUAUGACUUUCUCGACAGUCGAAAUACCUUCAUGCGAGCCGAUCUAUAAUAUUUAACAUUGAUAUUAAUCUUCAUAUGUCACAUAUCCAUAUCAAUCAGGAAAAUGGAGGCAAGAAGUUGAUUGUGCAUCUUAUUAUUUUCCAGCAGCUCACAAGUUGUCUUGGGGCUAAGACUCGGUUACACAUAAACUCAACGGGUGGGCCUCUAAUACCCACCAAGCAAAGAGAACAAAUAAGUGAAUAAAGAGAAACGAAGUAAAUCUAAGGGGAGAAAGAGAAAACAGGCUCGGCCGACACAGCCAAGAUCAACAUUUUGAUGACGAACGUUCUUAUACAUCCUCUUUUAAUGUCAAAAUUCUACUUCAAAAGCAAAGGAAGAUGCAGAAUGAAGCAUUGAAAUGUUUUCCCAGGAUCAGCAUGGGCUCAGAACACCUUUGGGCUUAAACUUCGAGUCCGAGUUCCAAGAUUAGUGUGUGACUAAGGGAAUUGGAAGCUGGGCCGAAAAAUUGAAUGGGACCUGCAUUGAAAAACUUCCGGUUAAAUUACAGAGAAAAUAACAACGAACAAGUCAUGAAGGUCACAGACAAAUUGGUAAGAAUGUUGAACUCAUAACGAACCAGGACUGAUGUAACGAUUCUUGAUAGCCCACUCAUUCCUUAGAGAUGCAAAUUUCUUGAAUGGAGCAGCUGAAAGUUUAUAAGAAAGUAGUUAAUUCUUGAUUCAAGAUAUGAGAGCCAGUAGUCUAAGAGAGUGAUGAUCAUCACAUGGCAAUCACUACAUUUAUUGACCACACCCUAAUCCUUACCUUCAAGUUCUACCAUUGCCUUCUUGAUCACAGGCUUGAACUUACCUGAAAAGAAAAUUCAACUUUCAGAAAAGAGUAUAUACUUUGAAAGAGAAAGACACCGCAGUAUGAAAAUUCAAUGUCACAAACUUAUCAAAGAGAUUCUGAACAUGAUGCUCAUAUCUCAAAAGAUCCUAAAACUGCAUGAUAACAGAAGUGAAUUGAUUACUAUACCGUGUCUCCUCUCCACAUCCAUCAAUGAAGUCAAUGCGGUGCCACCAACUGUCCAUUCUUCAACAGGGGCAGCCAAAUUUCCAACCUGGAGGCAUCACGUGAUAGAGCACAAAGACGAGAAGACUGUUAGUGCACUAAAGAAACUUCAGUUCUAGAAAAGUGAACAUAAAAACUAAAACAAAGCUUCUUUAGUCUAGGCAACUAAUAUUACCCUUCUGAAGAAGAAUGAUGAUUCCGAGGAACAAACAAACCAGAGAGAUAAGAUAUCGUUACUCACCGAAGAUAUCAACCCAGUCUUUCCACCAUGAAGGAGAGCUCCAGCACCAAAACCCAAUGCAUAGCAGUAGUUGGCAUCAAAGUUGGUUGGUAAACCACAUCUUCCUUCAUACCUGAAAAUAUUAAAAAACAGGUGAGCAAAUCCAACAUACGGAAACCUGAAUAUCUCUUAUGCAAAAUUACUAUGAUGUAGUCAAAAUGAAACAAUUGAUCCACGUUGUGAGCAAAUCAGUUGCCUCAGCCCAGACCAUUGGAAACUAAGCAUAAAGCCAAAGUAUUGUGUUUCUAUAUAUACCCGAAAAAGUGAGAUUUUCCUUGGAAAUGGCCAUGGUAUGAACCUUCCUGCUUCCUCUUUGCCAAGUCAGCCUCAACCAUUUGGAUAAGCAUCUUCUCUGUUUCUAUCUUAGCAACCUAUGGCACAAAAUAUAACUCAUAUGAUGAUGCUCAGAAGAUGGAGUCAAAAGAAAAAAUGUUACUAAACAUACCUGAACAUUUCCAUGAGGAUCUCUUUCGAGCAUCAACUGCUCCUGGAUUGCUCCAGGUAGUAAUUCGAAAAGCUGUAGAGACUGACUUGUGAGUUUCUUUUUCCACAACCCAUCUUCAUCUACAACAUCAUGGGCCAAAAUUUCAUUCAAUUCAGCAAUAAGCUCCUGCACCUGAAAAGAGAAAAGUCACAAAGAUUACAUGUUAGUAACACAAUUAUUUGCGUAGUGAUUUGAUCUUUAAAUCACUAUAAUCAAAGAUCAAGAAUAAUACCUCAGGAAUGAAGUCAAUAAGACCUUCAGGAAUAAGUAUAACACCGUAGUUAUAACCAAAAUCAGCACGCUUCAAGAUUAUGUUUACGAUGUAGUCUGUAACAUUUUUCAGUGUCUGCUUCUUUUCCGCAACCUGCAUCAAAAUAUUAGGUAGAUAAGUACAUCCACUCUGUUCUAAUCAUUGAAAGUAGACGCAACUUUUUUAGAAACCUGGUUUAGUUAGCUUUUAAUACUAAUGAUGUAAUUCUGACCAAUAACUAGACUAAAUUAUUCUAUUCAAGGAUACUGAAUCCUAAAGCCAUGAAUAUUCUACUUUAACAAAGCUGCCACUAAAAAAGUUCUUUUAUAUCAACUUAAUAACAAUGAGUUAUGGACAGCCUGAUGAGGUUUUGAAUUCGUUUUCAACUAGAAUCAGAUGAGCAGAACUUAAAGACUGCUGUUAACCAUCUCAGGAUGAGGAGCGCCACUCUAGUAACAGAUACCAAUGCUUAUUGUGUCAAUUAUUCAUAAUACCACAAUGUUUUCUUUCGUUCCUUUUCUUUUAAUAAUCAGUAGCAAAGUGCAUUUAUAUAUUAAAAAGAAAAUUGCACCUCUUCUCCAAUAAUUGUGAUAUUUGGAUGAGUUUGCAAAGCACACUCUAAUGUAAUGUGUGAAGCUGCACGCCCCAUAAGCCGUACAACUGCAAACACACAUGAAUAACUACAGUAAAUACACUUUAACAAGUUAAACAUAGAUACAUAGCUCUUAUAAAAGUCAUAGUCAUAGCCAUGCAGAAUACAGAGGUAUCACAUUUUACAUGCAGCAGAGAGGAUAUGUGUAUCUGAAAAUUAAGUUACCAUCGUAAAUAGGUUGAUUUACUUACAAUGAUAAUACUUUCCAGUUGACCGGGCAUCUAUCAUGACAUUGCCAAUCAUUUCUGAAUAUAUCUGACAAAAAAAAAAAAAAAUCAUAAACCGAGUAUCAUGACAAUGUUCAAACCAAAAUUGUGGUAAAUGUUUCAAAGUAUUUAAUUGUUGGGGAGUUCCCAGUUAUGAGUCUCUAGCAUUUCUUUGAUAUUUUAAUAAAAACUUAAGAACACCAAGACAUAGUGAACAGGAAAACACAAGUACAAUAUACCAAAUCCUUGCCCACAACAGAUACAAUGUGCUAUCAGUGAUUCUGUAUGAAAUAUAGAAGUUGAAUAGAAUAGAAAACAAGAUGUGAUAUAUGAAUUGAUAUGGAUUAUCACAACAAAGAAUCUUAAUAUGAAUGUACAAUAUGAGUUUAUAAGGAUAAUGGCAAUAAAGAAUGUUAAUAGUUAUAUUCACCUUGCAAGCUGUAUCGAACCCGAAACUCGUGGGGACCUCUUUACAUUUCAAAUCACCAUCAAUAGUUUUUGGGCAACCUAUCACCCGAGUUUUCAAGUUCAGUCCCCUGUUUUAACAAUCAAAGAAAUAAUUACAAAAAUAUCAAUAUCAGAACAAAUCACUCUUCACUUAAUGACAUUAAGGGCUACUAAGUUGAAGAAAAUCUCCAUUGGUGUUUAGGUUCCAGUACAAGAGAGUAAAAGCCAAACAUACAGAGAAGACUGCAUGUUUCCACUCAAAAGUUAAGCCAUGACAAAGAAAUUGGUAAGAAGUCAACAUACUUGAAGUUUUCAGCAAGGAGACAUGCAUUUGUGUUGGAGUCAUCUCCACCAAUAACAACAAGACCAUCCAAAUCAAGCUUCACAGCUGUCUCUUGUGCUUGCUUAAACUAUAAGUCAUUUCCAUUUACACUUGCUUAGAUCGUUAAUUGUUACACAAAUAUAUAUGACAUGAAUUUUCUCACUAGAAAACAAGAGUUACCUGCUCUGGAGUUUCAAUCUUGUCUCUUCCACUACAAAUCAUAUCAAAACCGCCCUGGUGAAACAAAAAUUUUAGCAAUAUGUCAUCAUUUAUCACAAUGCAGCUGCUAUAUGGCCAAAAUUGCUUAACGCAUGGCUAAACAGAAGUACAGUACUUGCAAAGCUUACAAGAAUGUAGCGCCAGACACAUAUCAGCAAGGCCAGUUUUACGUACAAUAUUACAGACUAUUUUCUUCUUACAAUAAGUAGCAGUUAGUAUAACCUUGAUGCAAGUAAACGGUAAAAAUCCUCACCUGAUUUCUGUAUGGAUAAACAUACUCCGGUGUAAGUUCAACAUAUUUUCCCUUCAUGAUACCAGCAGGCCCCCCUCUGAAACCAUACAAUGUGCUCCCCGGGGCACGAUCUUGCAAGUAAUCUAACACACAAAACACAGGUCAACUUCAACCGAAUUCCAAAACAACAGAAAAACAACAAAACUGAAUCCAAUCGCUACUUAAAACUCUCACCGAAAAUUCCAGAGAUCACAUUGUGGCCUCCAGGUGCUUGGCCUCCAGACAACACCACACCAAUCUUCAACUUCUGAUUUGGCAGCGCCGAACCAGAGUCACUUUCCACCAACUGUGCAGAGGGCUGACCGAAAACAUUCGGAAAUAGCUUGGCGAUCUCCUCUGAAAAUCAAAAUUACAGAUCAACACGAUCAAAUACAGAAUCGGAAAAACUCAAAUCCUAAUAGAAUCCUAACCUUAAUCGCUAACCAAAACUAGAACAGUGCAAAUCAAAAUCUAUUACCAUGAAGAACAAUAGUACUACUAUUCAACUAAGGCCAAUUUCUGAAGCAACCAAACGAUGCAGAAUUUCGCGAAUAUUCAAGCAUACUGUAAAUCUCAACUGAUCAACUAAAACCGGCGGAUCCGAAUAGAGACUCAAAGUACGAAACCGACCUGGAUUGCCGGCGGCGGAGCUGGCAGGUCCGUCGAUGAGCUUGAACGGCUUUUUGAGCACCGAGGGGAGAGGAAGCGCGUGGUCGAUACGGCUGGCCUGGACCUCGCUGUAAACGGAGGCGACACGUGGCGCCGGAGACGAAACGCCGCCGUUUUGAACCAGCGAGGGACUCAUCGUCGUUGUUAGAGAGAGAGAGAGAGAGAGAGUGAGAUCUUCACGGAGUUUAGGUGUGACUGCGUCGAAUUGGGUUGGACUCGGACAGUGAGGGGUGUUUAAACUGAGGGGCUGCGAAAAGGGUAGGGUCGUCUUUUACGGGUUUGGAUUCUCCGCCCUGAAAGUUAGCUGCUGGCCUAUUGGGUGUCGGGGUAUUUUGGGAAUUGUGGGAUCGAGAAAUGGGAUUGGUGAGUGGUGUGGUGUGUAGGGUGUUACGGUGGACUGGAGGGGUACGGGAUAAGGGAUUAUGCGAAAGGUGCUGAGGUUAGGUGCUUACCUAACCUUCCGACGGUCGGUAAGGCGCCAAUAGACAGCAAAAGGUAUAUUCCGUAAUCGGUACCGUACAUUUGGUGUUUACAGGUGAAGGAUUCGAUGGGCCGGCCUGUGGUUUCUACCAAAUGAGUAUGAAACUCUAGGCCCAAAUUAUUUGGAUCCACAGCUCGGCUGAUCUGGUCAUGAGUUGCUCCAAAUCAUACCAGUAGUGUUCACCUGGUCAGUAAUUGACCAAGAGAUUUAUGGUCAGUCACCGUUGGAUGUAAAUCACCGUUGGAUGUAAAUCCAAAGGUGAAAAUAAUUAUUUUUAAGUUAAGUUGUUUUGUUUACAACCCUUGGAUGUAAAUCUAACGGUGAUUGAUCAUAAAUCUCUUAGUCAAUUACUGACAAAGUAAACACUACUGCAAAUCAUAUAGGUUGAAUUAUGUGAACUCAUGAGUCAUGACACACGAUUAAGAUCGGUCGUGUUGUGAUGAGCCGAAGUGAGUGUUAGACAGGAUCACUCGAGUGAUUUAUUGGCCCAAGUCCCUAAGAUAAUUGGAUUUGGAUCACCGCUACGUGUGAUUCCAAGCCCAAAAUAAUCGAAACCAAGCUUGAAGAAUCAAAUCGCUUUAAUUGGGGCCGCUCUAGCCCAAGACAUGGUUUGAAACCCUAUAGCAAAGCGAGUAAUUAGCUUGAUUGUAGUUAAGUAGGCUGGAUAUAUAACUACUAAUCAAGUACUUCAGGGAUCAUUAGCAUUUGCUUUACCAAUGCUCAUUAUAGCAACACAUGCCACUUUGAUGGUUAAAGUUAAACAUGAUCAGUCUACCUAAUCCAAAUUGAUAUGAACACAUGCUAAACACUAUGAAUUGCCCAUUCUUUUAGUUUCUUUCUCCCUAUGAGAUUGCUUUGAGUACAAGAUACAGAGAAGGGAAUCCACAAAAGUGAUUCUCACCAACUGUGCAUGUCCUUGUGGGAUUUUCUGCAUAAUUAGAUGAGGCAUCAAGCAGCAUUAAACAACUAAAUGUUGGAGAUAGAAUUGCAUGAAUAGCUCUAUUCAGUUCAUCUCAAGCAUGCUUUGUACCUAUAUACUCCUACGGUACCGUAACCGGUUAUAGUCUUUAACAAAAGGAUUCAUGGAAACCCUACUUUCCAUAUUAAUUAACCAAACUUUCAAGAUCAUAUGCCACCUAAUAAGAGCCUAUAAAGGAAACUAUUGCGGUCCAGGACUUAAACAUCAUGAUCAUGGCUCUAUUAACUAAACGAAUACUGUUCCCCGUUUGCGUUGCUAAUCCUAUGAAGGUGGUGUUGUAAACACAAGACAUAAUCAUGAUCAACGUAGCCCUAGCCCACACUUGCCCCAUUGUGCAUAAAUUUAUUAACUCAUCCCAAAACUCCUUCAAAUUAAGCUUCUCCAACAAUGAAAUCCUCCAGGCAGCACAAGAAGCAACCGCAGCUGAAUCGUAGAGCUCCGAUUCGGGCAUUGUGUUGCAGUAGCUGCAGGCUCAGCGUGUCUUCGUCUUCCGAGCAGGAAGUAGAGAGUUCCAGCACUUCUGAUCGUAACAGGUAUCCAUCUAUAUCAAGCAUAGCGCAUGCCAUGGUUCAAGAGAGACUAGAUCAGGUGAUUAGAGAGAGGCAGGAGGAGGAGGCCACGAGAGCGCAUGUGGAUCGUCGGAGAAGAAAGAACAAAGCAAUAUAUGAUGAUCGAGCACAAGGAACGGGGACUAAAUUUGUGGUAAUGGUUGCGAUGGAAAAGUGUUCCUAUGAUCCGAGAGAAGAUUUUAGGGAGUCCAUGGAGGAAAUGAUAAUGGCAAAACGGAUUGAAGAGCCAAAGGAUCUUCGUAGCCUCUUGAAUUACUACGUUUCGAUGAAUUCAGAGGAGUAUCAUGAGAUUAUACUCGAGGUGUUUCAUGAAGUUUGCUCUGAUUUAUUCCUAUGUAAAUGUCAUUGAUCGAUGCACAAUAGAGCAUAUUGAUGAAAAAUAUAUGUCUAUGAUUAAGCAAAUUAAAACAAUGUUUAAUCGUCAUUUUUCAAGGGCCGGGCAUGUGAAUGAGGAUGAUAUUCAUGAAAUCUUAUAUUGAAUUUAUUAUUAUGCUCAUAUAUUUGUUAUACCAUAUAAGAAAUAACCAUAUUAUAUUACACAAAUUCUAUACUUAGUUCCAUGAUUCGGGUCCUCACACAUAUGUGGAAUUAGGGAGUGAAAGCUGUGUAUCUGGUUAAUGGAUCAUGAAGUAUGGCACUUUGAGCAAGCAGCUUCGGUAAGUGGCCAUGGAAGAACUCUUUUCACGACUUUGAAUGUGGUCUUGAGACUCUUUUUGAAGGCCAGGUACAACGGGUACUGCAACAGCGCAAACAUGGUGACCGGAAGAACCGCAACACAGUAUAUAAAAGUUGUAGUGAGGCGCUUCUUUAUCGGAGUCGUCAGCAUCAGAGUGGAGGUAAAGGCGAGGCUGGUGACGGCCACCGAGAAGAAGAGGGAGGUGAAGCCGAGGGUGAGCUUCCGAGGGAGAGAGUGGCGGAAGUCGUCGAGCUCGUACGGUGAAGAAAGGAUGGAGAGGAACAUGGCGAGUGACAUCAGCGAGCUGGCUAUGGAGAGAGCGUCAGUGAUGAUGAAGACCACGAAGAAAGGGCUGUCGAUAAGAAUGGGCUGGCCGUUUCUUCCGCUGUUGCCUCCCGGGAUGGUGAAAGCGGCUGCGAAGGCGACGGAGGCGAUUAGUGCGGCCACCAAGGAGCACGAAUCGGAGGUACGCUCUAGCCAAUUUUGUGCUUCCUCGAGGAGCUCCCCAUGGGUUCGACCAAAGUACUCUAUCGGGGUCUCCUCUUUGCUUUCGUCCCAGCCAAGCUUGCUUACAGAUUUUGGUGGGAUUAUCUUACCCACGUUCUGCAAGUUAAAGAACAAAAUGAAUUGAUGAGUAAUUCUCUGAUACCCGGAACAUCAUGUAACAUGUCAUGUCAUGUCAUGUCAUGUAAUGGUCCUAGCUAAUCAUAUAACUCAAAUCUGAUUAUUGUAAAAAAGAAGGAACCACGUCAAGUUUAACUGACUAAAGUACUACCUUAGACAAUUCCCUUACAGUUUGGUCAUAUUUUCGACGAAGGAACUCUUGGAGCGUCUCUGUUUGUUCAUUAAUGCGGCUGCGGUUCAUUGCAUAAUAUGGUGGGACUAAUUUCUUCACCUCCUGCAAGAUAAGUACCAAUUAGUUUAGCCACUAUGGAUCUUCUUUUUUUUCUUCUCUUUUUUCCGAUGAACCAGAGGUUUAGGCGAGAACUGAUCCCUUCUGUUACAUACAUACCUCAUACCAUUGUAACUCUUCUUGCAACUGAAGUGCAGGACCAUGCUGGGUGCCUCCUUUAUAAAAUUUCAUGUUUCCAACAUAAUGCAGUAUUGUGAAUCCAUGCUUAUCGGUUUGUCGAGCCAACCUUGACGUUAGUUUCUUGUUCCUCUUCGUCACACGAUCAAGGAUGUGCGACUGACGGUGCAUUACAGCGAGGUGCAGUAUGUUCUGCUUCUCUUUGUUUGUAUACUCAAGUAACAAAGGGUGUACUGUAAGUGUCUCCUCCACGAUUUCUAAUAUUCCAUUGCUUGUUGCAAUGAACAAUGGGAUAUCCGGAGUCUCUGUUUGGGAUGGCUUUCUUGUUUCUCCAGCAGCACUUUCAUUCACGCCAUUUUUGGAUUUUCGUGUGACCCAUGAAUAGUCUGCUGCAAUCAGAAUCCUGGCUAGUUCUAAAGCCAAUCCAUGCUUCUUCCUUUCGUCGUAGAUGUCCCUCAUGGUACUCCAUGCUGCAUUAACGAGUUAAUUUAUACAUGCAAUAGUUGUGUGUGUGUAUAUAAAAGAGUAACAUGCCUGAUAAAAACUCAUGGAAAUUAAGAUUGGUGUACCUCGAAGAACACUCCAAACCGAUCUAUUAACUGACCAAAAAAAAAAAACCUCAUCAAAAAACUGCCAGAAGAAAACUUGUCUGCAUUAGUUACAUUAGUAUCUGCUCAUCGAUCAAAUGAUUUAUAAUCACAUACGGUCAUCAAUCAAUUUGCUAAAAUUAUUGAUGUAUAUGCCUACCUGAAGAGAUGACUCUCGUUGGAAACACAGUAGCUGAUCUUUUGGAAUUAUCAUGAAUGGAAUUUUUUUCUAUGAGCAUCUUCUUCGUUAGCAUCUUCAUAUGGAGCACCUACAUUAUUAUGUAAUAAAGACACACACACAUUACACAUAUAUAUGUAUAGUACCUACAUAUAUGUGAUACUCUACUUGUUUACAGAUUUGAACCUAAAAAUUUAGUGAACCUAAAAAUUUAGUUUUAGGUCAAUUUUAGUUGUUAUAUUUAUAUAUAUAUAUAUAUAUAUUUUUUUUAAAUAAAUAUUUUAGUUAUAUAUAUACUUCUAUUAGAGGUAAGAGGUAAUUAACUCUAACCACGAUAGAACUCUCACAAAUUUAUGAAUAAAUUGUUCUCGAUAUGAAAAAUGGUGGCCGGAUGAGCUACCAUUCUGGGGUCGAGAGCAAUUUUAGGUAUGACCCCUCCCUAAAGAUGUUUUUCAUAAGCUGGGGUUUAAAUUAAAUACCUCCUAUUACCAGAAGAAUCUUUGUAGCAUCCGCCCCACUUGCAGCCUAUAAUGCUUCUACUAGACCAAACCCAUUAGGUAAUUUAUGAAUAAAUUGUUAUUGACAUGCUAACUUGGUUCAAUUAUAUAUAAAUGAGUAAAACAAAUGUUAUAACUUUUCUUAUUGUCAAGUAAAUAUUGUUCAGCUAAUUGUAAUUUUGGUUCAAUUUGAUGCAACUUAAAGUAGAUAUCAUGCAUAAACGUACAUAUAAGUAUCAUAAUUUCAUAUACAACCCGGUAUAUGUGUGACUUAAUGUUUUGUGUAAACAAAGAUUAUACAUGAUGAUACAUACAGUUGUAAAUAAUCCUCUUGAUCAAUCCACAUUUCAUUCCACUCUCGAAUGCUGAAGAAUUGGAUGAGAGUAGCUGAAGAGGAGUCAUCGAAUUUUUGUCCUUUAGUUGAACAGUUUUUAAAUAAUCCGGCCUUCUAGCUAUCCAUAGUGCAAGCUCUGUAUAUUCAAGUUAUGGAGAAGAUCAAAAUAUUUAAACAAAAAACUUUGUUCAUAGUAUUAUUGCUUGAAAAGUAAUAAAGCAUCUAGAAAUUACCAAAGAUUUCGGCAUGUAUUGCAGCAUGAAGAAUGGUACUGCGUAUGUGUUGAGGGUCGUAGGAGCAGAAAUGGAAAUCAAGAUCAGGAACAUUUUUCAGUUUUUCAGCCAGCAAAAUGAACAUUUCGGUCUGACCAAAGUGAGCUGCUGUGUAGAGAGGCAUUUCUCCUUUCUUGUUUGGAGUGGACAGCAAAUCCGGUGCCUUAUCCAACAAUUUCUCCACAACUCGUACACAACCAGCUGCUGCAGCUUCAUGAAGAGCUGUGUUUCCAAACUUAUUGGGUUUUGUAAUUAGCUCCUCACUGCUUGUUUCGAUGAUUCCUAUCGCGAUGCUUUCUUUCCCCAUGUAAAUCGCCAUAUGGAGGAUUGUGUCGUCGUGCACUGUUGGCAGUAGCUUUGAACUUGCAUCAGGUGUAUUUGCGUUCGCACAAACUUUCACCACUUCAACUAAAUCACCGUCUCUAUGGCUCUGAUACGGGGAUUUGAUUUGGCUGGAAGUAUGUAUUUCUUCCAUUGUUUAGAGUCAGGGAUCUCGAAAUAGAGACAACUAGCUAGUGUGCUUGUGCGCAAAGAUGUUGCGGAUGAGGCGUGUUUAUAUGCAAGUACAGAUCGGAGCAUUCAGGAACCAUAUGUUUCAUCUUUGUUCUCGUCUUUGGCCAAUUCAUUUGCUUUUCAAAACUAAGCAAGGAAUAAAAAAAGCAAAGUCUCAAGGAAUAAGCAUAUAUGCAUGCAUGAUUCACGAACCACAUUUUUCUUCUCGAGUUGUUUUCUCACAUUUUCCAAUUCAUUUGCUUUUUAAAACUAAGGAAUAAAAAAGUGAAGUCUCGGAGGAAUAAGUAGAGAAGAAAUAUGUGGUUCGUGAAUCAUGCAUGCAUAGCGAUCUUCAGAGUAUCGAUCUCUCAACUGUUCUUGGAAAAGGUGUUGCUAAGCGACAUGCUAAAACCACAUUAGAAGUUUUUACUAUGAUAAGAAAAGUUCGAGAUGAGAUUCAAGGUGAUCUAAAUUUCAAGAAUUAAAAAGUCACAAUUUACUCAUUUUUUUUGAAGUCCUUAUAAAUAAAUAACUAAUUCUAUGUAUUAAGAGAUUAUUAAUUUAUAUAUUAAUUGGGGUCUAUGUGAAUUGUCAUAUUUGUAUUAUCUUAUAAAUUUAACGAAUUUUUAAUUUAACAUGUUAUCCCCAACUCGGGACCGACAAAAAUUAUUAAUUUAGCGAGGUUAUUAAUUAAUUGAAUAUUAAACUAUCGAGGUUCUACUGUAUGUAAGGAAUACAAAAAAGUAAAGUCUCGAGAAAUUAACAUGCAUGUGUGAUUCAUAAACCAUAUUUCCUUUUUUUUAUUUGUUUAAUUAAAUAAGGAAUAACACAAUAGGAGAGGGACCACCAAGGUGCACUUACAUUAUUAAUGUCUAAGUGCUCAAAAUCGUCGUAUGAGAAUGUUGAAUGAAUACUAAAGACACUUAAAUUCUUUCAUUUCAAUUUCAUAUUUGAUCCGAUCAAAUUAAACGCCCAUAACAAGAGUACAUCUUCUUCGACCUAGUCUUCUCACCUCCUUAGUUUGAAACAAUUAAGACUAUUUAUUUGGGUUUCAAUUUUGUUAAUGGUAUUAGUAUAUAUGCAUGUAAUACGACAUAGAUGAACGGAUCAAAAUACUAUAUAUUAAUUGCUCGGUUCACUUGCACCUUGGUGCAUAGAAGAAUUUUUGAUAAUACAAACGUUGUUACACCAAUAGUGCACAGUGUGAGGAAGCCAAUGAUCGAAGUUGACAUUAUAUUCCGGAGGAAGAGAAAUAACAUGAAGGCCUUUAUGGUAGACUUUUUUUAUUAUUAUUUUUAUAUAUUUUUUAUGAUUUACUGACAAUAUUUAGGCCCUUAUGGUACCUAACAAUUAAUAGUAGACUAUUUUUUUAACCAAUUUUCCUCAAAAAUCAAUUAUAGUCGUUUUCAAAAAAGAAAUCAUUUAUAAUACACUUCUCUUUUAAGAUUCGAACAGAUCAAUCCGGCAAUAUCGAUCCCCUCAACACAAGCUAGUGAGUUAUGUCAUUUUUCUCCGACGAGAUGAGAAAUUAUUCAUUGCUGGAAUUAUUGUCAAUCUUUCAUGUGCCUCUUCGAGACCUCCUUCAUGUAUCAAAAACAUGCUCCUCACGUUCUUAUAUAUCUUCAUUAUACUCUCUUUUGAUCUAUACAUGAAUAAAUUAAAGUGAAAAGCGUAGCAUAAGAUAAGAACCAAAACGUUGUGAUCGUCACAUUUCAUGCAUUCUGCUUCUAUCACUAAAUUGAAGUAUAAACUUUGGAUUGCUCUCUUAAUUUCUUGCUUCUAUAUGGCUACUUAUUCAAAUCUCAUCCAUUUCUUAAGCAUGGGUAUUAUAUAACACAAGAGAAUGUAUAUGAGAUAUUUUAUCUUUUCAAACAUACAUGAUCGACAUGGUGUUGGGGUGUUCCUCGAGAAACGUUAUAAAAUCGAUGCUUGAAUUAAUAUUUAUUGAUUCAUACGUAUAAAAUUACAUCCCACGUCCUUGACCUUGCAUGAAAUUUCCUCUUAAAACAUGGUAGGUGCUGCCUUCCUGAUCAAAUAGAAACGCCCCCCGCCUGAUCAGAUGGAAUCUUCAAAUGGGGUUUGGCUGAAGAUGUGCUCUGAUCGGCUACACAAGCAGUUCUUUGAUAGAGUCGGCAAAACAUGUUUUGCCAAAAAUUAUUCAAAACAAACACAUACACACAUAUAUAUAGGUUACCAUGUCCUUUGAGUUAAUUCUAGGUGUCCCAAAGCUAUUGGGUCUUGGCGGUUUUCGAAUGAGUCGCAGGCAAGAUUGAACGCCAUACGCUUUGCAUGGCCUCGAGACUCUUUUUGAAGGCCACCCACAACGGGAACUGCAACAGUGCAAACACGCUGACGGGAAGAAACGCAACACAGUAGACGAAAAUUUUGAUCACUCUAUUCUUCAUGGAAAUUGUCAGCAUCAGAGUGGAGGCAAAGGCCACCAUGGUCACCACCACCGAUAAGAAGAGGAAGGUGAAGCCGAGGAUGAGCUUCCGAGGGAGAGAGUGUCGGAAGUCCUCGAGCUCGAACGGUGACGUCAGGAUGGAGAGGAACAUGACGAGUGAAGUCAGCGAGCUGGCUAGGGAUAGAGCGUCGGUGAUUACGAAGACCAAGAAGAAAGGGCUGUGAAGAAGGCGUGGAGUGCCACUUUGCUCGUCGUUGCCUCCAGGGACGGUGAAGGCGGCUGUGAAGGCGACGGUGGCCAUUAGUCCGGCCACCGUCGAGCACGACUCGGAGGUCCGCUUCAGCCAUUCUCGUGCGCUGUUGAGAAGCGGAUCAUGUGUGCGACGAAAGUACUCUUUAGGGAUCUCAGACGGGAUCUCAUAUUUCUUUCCUUCAGGAUCAUCGGGUGUUGUUAUCUUAUCCACGGCAAUGUUCUGCAAAUUAAUUACUUGAUUCAUUAGCAUAAGAUGUUAGGAAAAUCCAAGGUGCAUGACUAAUCAGGGAUGAAAUUAAUCAGUACAUACCUCAGAUUUCGAUAAGUCUUUGAGAAUCUCUACAUAUCUUUCAUGAAAGCUCUGUAGGGGGGUGGUGUCUUUGUCUUCCCGAGCACGGAAUUUUUGAUAAUGUUGUGGCAUUAACGCCUUCACCUUCUGCGAGUUAAGUAAUAUGUCUAAUCACUUAUUAAUUAUUAAUAAAAAAAAUAGUUAGCUGAUCGACGUAGCAUUUUUCUAUGAAAUAGAGGAUUGAUAAUUGGUCCCUUCCCAAGUACGUACGUACCUCGAACCACUUUAGCUCUUCUUGCAAUUGGAGUGCAGGACCAGGCUGGGUGCCCCCAUUGUAAUAGUCUACGUUGCCAACAUGGUGCAAUACCGUGAAGUUAUUCGUAUCGAGUUGUCGUAUCAACCUCUUCCUAGUUCCGUCCAUAUCUAUUACAAGCUCAAAGAUUUUCCACUGACGGUGCAUAAUGGCCAGGUGCAGUAUGUUUUGAUCCUUUGUAUUUCUAUACUCGUAUGCCGCUUUGUGGACUGUAAGAAUCUCCUUCAGAAUUUCAAAUAUUCCAUGUUCUGUUGCAAUGUACAAUGGAAUAGGAGGAGUAUUCUUUUUCAGUGAUCGGUUUGUUGUUUCUCCAUCUGAAUUAUUGGAAUCUGGGCGUGGGACAUUUUCACGAGCAGUCUCAUCCAUGCCUUCAAUUGCUGAUACUCGUGUGACGUCCCAUGAAUGGUCUGCUACAAUCAGAAUCUUGGCGAGUUCAAAAGCCAAUCCAUGCCUCUUCUUUUCGUCGUAGAUGUUCUUCAUGGUACUCCAUGCUGCAGUUACGAGUGAUCGAAUUUAUACAUAUAUAUAUAUAUAUAUAUAUAUAUACACAGUAUUUUCUCAGGUGCAGAUGUNNNNNNNNNNNNNNNNNNNNGAUGAACAUAAUUCUGUCGAACUUGAACCGUUCAUGUUUAUAACAGAAAAACACAGUUUUGAGUGCCUUAAUGAUAACCAAAUUGGCUGAAAUUUUACAGAGAUGAUCUAUAUAUUAGUAUCUAAAUACUAAACGGUGGAGAUGUGAAAAUUCGAUUAAAAAGUGAGCGUAAAGUGGAAAUCCGCACCGUAAGAAUAAUAGCGACGUCAACAGCUAGAAGGACUAUAUAUAUAAGAGUAAUUAAUAUUCCUGAUAAAGACUCAGGGAACUAAACGGUGUUGUACGUACGUACCUCGAAGAACAUUCCAAACCGAUCUAUUAACUGCCAAAACAAAAUAUGUAUACAUUAGUAUCUGCUCCACGAUCGUAACGAUUGUGAUCAAAUAAUUUGGUAAAAUUGAUGAUACACAUGCAUGCUUACCUGAAGAGAUGACUCGUCUUAGAAUUCGAAACAGAGUAGCUGAUCGUUUGGAAUUUUGUUUAUGAGCAUCUUCUCCAUUAGUAUCAUCACUGGAAUUUUGUUCAUGAGCAUAUUCUCCAUUAGCAUCUUCAUAUGGAGCACCUACAUCAUGCAUAAAUUAUACUUAAAUAACGGGGCGCGCACACACACACAUAUAGCUAGAUACAAUCUUUACCACAAUGACAACAAUUAAUACAUGUAGGUAUCUAAGGAAAAUAGGAAAUUCCAAGAAAGAUUAGAGAUGAUGAUACAUACAGUUGUAAAUGAACCUCUUGAUUUGUCCAUAUUUCAUUCCACUCUUGAAUGCUGAAGAAUUGGAUGAGAGGAGGUGAAGAGGAGUCUUCGAAUUUUUGUCCAUUUGUUGAACAGUUUUUGCAUACUUCGGCGUUUUAGCUAUGCUAAGUGCAAGCUCUGUAUAUUCAAGUUAUGGAGAAGAUCAAAAUUAAACAAAAAACUUUGUCGAUUAGUGCUUGAAAUGUAAUCAAGUAGCUAGCAAUUUACCAAAGAAUUCGGCAUGUAUUGCAGCAUGAAGAAUGGUACUGCGUAUGCGUUGAGGGUGGUAGGAGAACUCAUGUUUUUCAGCAGGAUACAUGGAGCAGAAAUGGACUCUAAGAUCAGGAACAUUUUUCAGUUGUUCAGCUAGCAAGUUGAAAAUUUCGGUCUGACCAAAGUGAGCUGCUGUGUAGAGAGGCCUUUCUCCUUUCUUGUUUGGAGUGUCCAGCAACUUCGGUGCCUUUUGCAACAACUUCUUCACAACUGGUACACAACCAGUUGCUACAGCUUCAUGAAGAGCUGUGUUUCCAAACUUAUUGGCUUUUGUAAUUUGCUCCUGACUGCUUGCUUCGAUGAUUCCUAUCGCGAUACUUUCUUCCCCCAUGUAAAUCUUCAUAUGGAGGGCUGUGUCGUCGUUCAGGGAUAUGAUUUGGCUGGAAGUAUGCAUUUCUGCCAUUGUUUAGAUCGUUAGGGAUCUCCAAAUAGAGACAGCUAGCCAGUGUGCUUGUGUGCAAUAUAUGAUGCUGGGGAUGCAUGAGGUGUAUUUAUAUGCAACCUGUAGAGUGUGGAGCAUGAAUGCAUGAUUCACAAACCAUAUAUUUCCUCUCCUCUCACCCCCUCUUUUUCCACUUCAUUUGCAUGUUGAAAUUAAGCAAGGAAUAAAAGAAAGUAGAGCCUUGAGGAAUAAGCAUGCAUGCAUGAUUCACGAACCAUUUACUUCCUCUCUUUUUCCAAUUAACUUUCUUUUCAAAACUAAGCAAGGAAUAAUAAAAUUCAAAGUCUCGAAAAAUAAGCAUGUAUGCCAUGAUUGACGAACCAUGUUCUUCGAUUUCGAUUGCUUUCUUCUUCUUUUAUUUGCUAAAGAGCAAGGGAUCCAUACACCAGUCAAUAUUUAAGUAAGGAAUACCAUACCAUACCCAAAUAAGCUUCAAAAACAAUGAAGAAGAAUACAAAUUGUUGAAAAUGACACUAAACAUUGUUACACGGUGUGAGGAAGCGCAUGAUCGAAGUUGACAGUAUUCCACUAAACAUCUUUGUUCGCUUUGUUGUACGGAUAUCACUUAUGUCACUUCAUGUUUGUUUGGUUGAUCACGAAUAUCUUCCUUUUUUUUUUUUGGUAUUCGAACAUAUAAAUCCCAAUUUGGAUCCCCUCAACACAAACUAGUAGGUUAUGUCCUCUCUAUGAUAAUGUCAAUCACAUGAUUAGAAUGAUCAACAAGUAAUAGUAUAACUUAUAAAUAAAUGAAUCACACCAGAUUGUAUCUACAAAGAAUGUUUUAUUCUUUCGUUUUCAUGUGUCUUGGAGUUACCAUCAUGUAUCAAACUAUCAAUAAUGUGCUCAUCACGUUCUUAUCUUUUCUUUUCUCUUUUGAUCUAUGUCUAUAUUACUGUACAUACAUAAAUCAAUCCAUAACCGCACAGCUUAAUUAAAAAAAAAAAAAAAAACCCAAACAUCUAAUAAUAUCCUUGAUAGUAAAAACAAUAAAAUAUAAGGAACGUAGUUGCAUUUGGUACAUGCAUUAUUGAUGGACUCACGGCCAUUGUUAACAGAACACGUACAACAACACAGAUGAGGGAUACCAUUCCUCACCUAGCAAUCUAGCUUAAAUGAAAAUCACACUUCCAACCAUAAAAAAAAUGAAGUAAACGAAAAGCUUUGCCAAGUGGAAUCAUUCGUCUUCAUCCGAGAAGACUUCAUAUUCCACACACAGAAACGAUAAUGUGGCAAGACUUAGGUCAUGGUCGAGGCUGACAUUUUUUCAGAGGAAGAAGAUGAAUGAGGCUGCGCACCAAGUCCUUUAAGGUAAACCAAGUAAUAUUGGUAUAGAGAGGAAGCUGGAGAAGGAGGAAAAAGGCGACAGGAAAACAAGCAAUGGCAAUGAUGGGAGCAGCAGCCUGAUGUACCCUGUGCCUUAUUGUAAUGACAAGAGUAGCGGCAAAACCAAUCAUCAAUGCUGUCACAGAAAAAAACAGCAUGCUUAGCCCCAAAACAAGCUUCAGAGGCAGAGAUAUCCUGAAAUCUUGCUCAUUCAUUUUGGACGUAGUAAUGGAUAGAAACACCACGACUGAGGUGAAAGCAAAACAAAGAGCUGCCACAUCUGAUGCUGUGAAGAUCGUGAAUGCAGUUGUGUUGAGGAGCAACGGCUUGCCAUUCUUAUCAGAACCGCCAGGCACGGUGUAGAUACUUGUAAAAGCAACAGUUGCAAUAAGAACUGCAACUACAAUGCAUGAGUUUGUUGUUCUGAUCAACCACUCUCGGCCUUCCUUCACCAGUUCUUCAUGCUGUUUUGUGAACAAAGCUUGAGGCGUAUCUCCUUUUUUAUUUUUCUGGUUGAUAUGAUGUGCAGGCACCAUUUUCCUCACUCUCUGCAUUGUACAUAUCAAACUUGUUACAUUUUACUCGAUGAAAAAGUGAGCCAAGAAUAAGAUAUUAGAGUGAAAGAGUUAGCACCUCAAACCACUGAAUAUCUGACUGCAAGCAAAGGGCUUCCCCGGGCCUCUCCCUUGAGGAAAUAUCAGUCUUGUAUGCAGCUUUAUGUAUAAUACCAUUAUCAGCUUUAUCGAACUUCCGAACGUGCCUCGCGAUCGGAUAAUUAAAUUUCUUAUCUUCGAGAAGAACCAAAACAUUUUUCCUGCGAUUCUUCACAGCAACAUGAAACACAUUUUCUCCUUUGUGGUUUUCAUGCUCGAUGGCCUGUGGGAACACAUCUAAGAUGGCCUCAACAAUCUCUACGAUCCCAUUCUUUGCAGCUGCAAUAAGUGGAGUGUCAUUCUUUGCAGCUGCAGUAUCACUCUGACCAUCAGUAGUAUUAUGACCCUGCCAUGACUUGUCUUCUUCAGCCAGAGUUUUGGUAAGCUUCAUCACUCUGCCAUGAUUCUUCUUCAUGUUUCUUAGACAUUGGACUCUUAGGAAUCCUAUGCAUAUUACAAUAUUCAUCACAACAAAGAGAGAUCGGUGAAUUUUUAGCUUUAAUAACUGAAUGAUUAGUGCUUAAUUUGUUUGACAAUCUGUACGUGAUUGUAUUUGCACAUACAAUUGUUAGUACUGAGUAGUUUAACACUUUAAGUACAAGCCUAAGUAAAGCAAUGAGUCUCCAUAUCCACCUGAAGUAUGUGCUUGAACUUCCUGGAUAUAUAUAUAUAUAUAUAUAUAUAUAUAUAUAUAUAUAUAUAUAUAUAUAUAUAUAUAUAUAUACUACUAGNNNNNNNNNNNNNNNNNNNNNNNNNNNNNNNNNNNNNNNNNNNNNNNNNNNNNNNNNNNNNNNNNNNNNNNNNNNNNNNNNNNNNNNNNNNNNNNNNNNNNNNNNNNNNNNNNNNNNNNNNNNNNNNNNNNNNNNNNNNNNNNNNNNNNNNNNNNNNNNNNNNNNNNNNNNNNNNNNNNNNNNNNNNNNNNNNNNNNNNNNNNNNNNNNNNNNNNNNNNNNNNNNNNNNNNNNNNNNNNNNNNNNNNNNNNNNNNNNNNNNNNNNNNNNNNNNNNNNNNNNNNNNNNNNNNNNNNNNNNNNNNNNNNNNNNNNNNNNNNNNNNNNNNNNNNNNNNNNNNNNNNNNNNNNNNNNNNNNNNNNNNNNNNNNNNNNNNNNNNNNNNNNNNNNNNNNNNNNNNNNNNNNNNNNNNNGGAAAUUCAAGCACAUAUACUUUAGGUAGAUUUGGAGAAGGAACUAUAUAAUAAGGGAAAUGGAAGUUUAUAUACUUGUUCAGUAAUUAUUAUUUGUGAAUAUUUGUAUUUUUCAAGCAAGAAUUAGUAUUUAGUACUAUCUGUUUGAUCAGCAAGACACAAAUUAACAAACUGAAACAACUGAUUGCAUAGAUGAGUCGAGAUCUUUCCAUUCAUUACCAUGAUGUGUGUCUGGAUUGCCCCGAGAUACAUCGUUGUUUACACUUGCAUCCAUAUCUUUUGGAACUGGAAGGCCUGUUAUAUAUAAUAACACAUGCAGUUUGAACAUGUUAGAUGUUAUCAGAUAUAUCUAUAUAUGAAUGCACCGCAGAUCCUGAAAAGUAAAACCGUAAUCAAAUUGGAUUGCGGUAUCUGACAGACCGUCAUAAAUCAGUUUCUCCAAGAAGCCAAAGGAGUAUCCACUCUUGAAAGCGUUGGGAAUGUCAGCUAGCAGCUGAAAGCAGGUCAUGCCAUAUAAAUCUUUCUGAUCCUUCGGUAUGCAGUAUUUUUUGUCUAAUAAUUCCAGAGCUGUGUCUGCAUUGUCAAGAUCCACAUAAUUCAACUUAUUAGAAUAGAGUAUUACACAUAUACUGGCGGAUACAUGUAGUGGGCUAUCUAGGCUGCAGCCCAGACAGAAUUUUUGAUAUAUACCAUGUGAAUACCAACUGGUAAACAAAGUUUCUUUGGUUCAGUUGGCAGUCUGUCCAACCUGACUUUUACCUUGUCUAAGGUUCGACUCCUCUUGGAGUCAAAUCCCAUGUUUUUAUCUAGUUUUCCAAGAUUUUAUUCUUCUUCCUCUACUCUUUGUGACUACAAACCAGACUUGACUGGAAAUCCUUCAUUUUUGUUUUUUUUUUUUACUUAAUUUACAUCACUUUGCAUUUUCCCUUCUCGUUUUCUUCACUUUCCUUUUUGGGUUUAAUCUAUUUUUUAUUAGUAUUUUGUUAAAAAAAAACUAAAUUAAAAUGUUUUCUCAUAUACUCCUACAUUUCCGUUAGUGUUUCUUUACAAGAAAUUUCCUUUGAUGAGUCUACCAUUUGGUUCAAGAAAUUCUAGAAAAAUUUUGCACAUCUAAUUAAUAGCCUAGACACUCACCGGAUCCUGGAUCGGCCAUACAUGUUAAUCAUAACAGCAAAAUGAUAUUUCAUGCACCUCUAUUCGGAGCACAUCUCCUAUAUAUGUAUCAAAAGAGGGAUGAGAGAUUAUGAAAGCAAGAGUGAUCAGAGAUUACCAAAGUAAUACCCGCGAAUAGCCUCAUGAAGCAUGGUGGAGUGUUCAGUCUUGACAUGUCUUUCUAUGUUGUUAAGCUUUUCCACCCAAGUUUUGAUCAACUCGGUCUUGCCAUAAAUUGCAGCCAUAAAGAAAGGUGUCUGAUCGUCCUUGUUUCUAGUAUUCGUCAUCAGUCGCCUCUUCUCUUCAAAACCCAACAUCAGCUCUACCAAUUUUACAUUUCCUGUCGAAGCUGCCUCAUGGAGUGGUGUGUUUCCAAAUUUAUUCUUUAAGGAGAGUUUCAAGCCAUCUUGUUCAUCUACUGGAGUCGAUGAAAAUUGUUUGUCUUCAACAUACACUAUGUUCAGCAGGGAUUCCACCAAUUUCAUGUCUUGACUGUAUGCUGCAAGAUGAAGAGCCGUAUCUCCCAAAUGAUUAAGAGGUAUGCAAACCUGAAAACUCUGUUCCUCGUAAAAGCUCUGUAUUUCACUCCAGUUCCCUUCUGAGAAAAGCUCGUAAAUACGCUCACCAAACUCAACACUGCUAUUCAUAAGCAUAUCUCUGUCUUUCAUCAUACGGAAAUUUAGUCUCGCUUGUUUCACAAACAGCAAGAAACUAAAAGAGAGUGAUAUAUAGAUCAAUAUAUAUAGAGCAUCAACUUUGCCUACUUAAGAACCAAAGUAUUCCUUUCUUUUCUGAAAAAAAAUAAAAAAAGAAGAAGAAUAAAGCAUUUCUUACUGCAGUCAUAAAUAAGGAUUUUGUUCUGCAACUGUCUUGCUUAACCGUGAACACAAUUUUGUGGCUGGAACACUUGCAGCACAAGUGUUCUUAUAAAAGAAAGUAGCAUGUAGAUGGAUCCAGGCAUCCAGCAUCUUCCUUCCAUUCCUUAAGUAACGAAUUUACAAAGCAAACGUCGCUUUUGUGUGAUCGUAAAUUCGUAACGAUGAAGAUAAUAGGGCACCACCAUUCAGUUUACAGAUCAAUCAAAAUGAUAAUAACAGGGUUGCUUAAUCAGCCACAACCUAACACAGCUUCAAGACACAUCACCCAUGUAUAUAUAGCGUAAAGGGAAUACAGGUUUUUAUCUCAACAAGCGUAAAGACACAGAUUCUAUCUUAACUUCAUUAAUGUUAACUUCAGAUCAUAUAUGCUUUUCAAGUUUCAUCCAAAACCUUAAUCUUGGACAGUGUAUAAAACCAUACAAUUUCAAUUUAUUGAUCUAUAGAAGAUUACAUCUCAUAUUCCUGAACAUAUACAUAAUCGAUUAAUAAUACACACAAUUCCUAGACCUAAAUCAAGGAGUCAAAAGGGAGCUGCCUUCCUUGAUGAGCACAAACACACUGCCAUUGUCUCCCCUCGAAAUCCGAAGCUCUUGAUCAAGGUAUGUGGUUAGCAACCACGAUUCGGCAUUGCUGCUUGAAAUCGAGAACUUAAUUGGGGGUUGGCUAGAGAUGGACUUUGCAACUGAUGAAGCAGUGUCUUGGACAGAAGUGAGCAAACCUUUGAAGGGUGCAAGGUCUAUCUUCUGUCCCAAAAACUCAACAUCUUCCGGUAUCACUAGCGAGUCUGUUAGCUGGGGAGUCCCAAUCACCCCUUCCUCAAAUUUGAGCUGAAACCAAAACAACCACUCAUCUAAAUUUUUAACAAGACACAUCAAAACCCAUGGACAAUCAACAUUAUACAUACACUUCAAAUCAUUCAUUUCAUCAAUGGACAAAGAAUAAGAACUAAACCUGAACACGCUUGGGACUUCGGACAUCAAAUGUGGCAUUGGUGCUGAAAGAAGUUGUAGCCAAAGGCCCGGAAAACCGAACAGAGUUUUCAACUGUGAAAUUAUCAGAGUCUAUAGUCUGCGAAAUCUCAGCAACCUUCACCAAAGGAAGAGUUCCUCUGGACAAUAUUGGAAACAAACCAGCAAAAGAUGUGUACCUACAAAUUUCGACCAUGUAAUCAUUACAACACUGUGAUGCUAAACUUGGGUUUAUAGAAUGAUGAUGAUUAACCAAACUUACGCCAGAAUCCAUUUCCCGUUGAGUAGAGGCAACGCGUCGGUCGGAGCCGGAGUCGGGUUUUGGGCCUCUAAUUGGGUAAUAAGCUCGACAAUCUCGGCCCGGGUCUCGCUGGUGGCGCUGAGCCCACGAUCAGUCCCGUAGAACGAGUCCACCAAAGCCUUCUUUAGUUUCGAGAUCUCCUCCGGCUCAUCCGGCUUCUCUGCCACAGCCACAGCUCCAGCUGCCACGUCGGACGACUCCUCCGAGUUCUCCGGGGCCGAGUCGUCAUCCAGGGCGCGGACACGGGUGGCGGGUCGGGCGGCCGGUGGGGAUUCCGGGUUGGAGAGUUUCAAUUUGUGGGUGGCGAGGGAGAUGGAGUUUGGCGCCAAAAUGGAAGGCUUGGAGGUGAGGCGGGGUUGGGGCGGAGUUAGUGAGAGAGUCUUGCAUGGGAAGUGGUUUAGCUGAGAGACAAAAGCCAUGUUUGGCUGAACUGAAAACACUGAAAGUCUUGGACUGUGAAGAAGAAUCAAGAAGAAGGUGACUGUUUUUCUGAGUUGUGGUCUCUGCAAAUCCGCGAGUUUAAGGAGGACAAAAUAGUUGGGCAAACGGAGAAUUAGUGUUAGAAAAGACGUUGGUGUCCGGAAGGUUGGUGACUUGUUUGGAGUUUUGUGGUGUGGGUUGUGAGGACAGAAAUGGAACUGGAAGUCCCCAAAUCAUGUGGGAAGCAGCAAGUACAGUCGCCGACGGCUAUGGAAUUAUUGGAUGGAGGACACAUGGCCAGAAGGAUGGGAGUUUUUGGAAAGUGAUGCCCAAGUUUGCCUUCUUACAUGAAUCGUGUUUGGUUUGUUUUGCACUUUAGAGAUAGCCGAAUUCUUAUUAUAGUGGAAAAAUGAAUGAGGAGGAGUCCUAUAUAGAUGGAGUUACCCACAAAAUACCUACUUAGAUUUCAACCAUAAUAUGGCAUUGGAUACAUGUUGAUCCCCCAAGUCCCCAACUCAACAUCUCUCUGGAGUUGGAUAUUUUUUAGAAUGUCUGAAAUUAUUUGUCCAAAUGGAAGUUUCAUGUGUAUCAAAUUAUAAUAGCAUUGCACAAAGGGUGUGAGUGAUAUUUAGGUUUAAGUCAUGCAAUUUGCAAUUUUCGUGUGUAUCAACUAAUUAAGUUUCUAAUCUCGUUUCCGUGUACCAACAAAGUUAGUAAUUAAAGUUACUGAUCUCUUUAUAUAGUUAAUCAAGUUUUAGUAACAACUCUUCAUCUACUCAAAAUUUUUCUACAUGUAAAUUGGAUGAUCGUUGUUUAGCUCAUAAUCACGGCAUUAUUCAAAGCUAUACAUUGGUAGAUGCAUCCGAGAAGACCUUUAGUGAACAUUCAACUAGUAAAUUGGUAGUUUGGUACAACCUGCAACUUGUAAAUGGCAUUGGAGCACAAGCCGGAUUAUUCUUUAUGGGACGGUUAUUCACUUAUUUGAUGACAAUUCUCUACCGGCGAGUAAAACCACGCUGCGUUAUGCCGGAAAAAGUAUUAUGGACCUGGACUGGUAUGCAGGGAAAUGAAACACUACUAAACUUUGGUAUUCAAAUAAAGGCUCGUUAAUAGGGAAGUGAGCCUUAUGGGGCAUCUGGGUCUCUAUGGAUUAGCAAAUAGCAAUACAGUUCAUGAGACCUUUCAGUUGGGCCUGUGCCAUAUUCUCAGGCUUUCCAAUUGUCGAAUUUAAUUUUGAUCCAAAUACACGGUCACCUCCUUCUACAAUAAAAACACAUGAUUAGUCUAAUCGGAAAAUUGUAAAAUCUUGAUCCAUCUAUCUUCUUUCCUUCUCUGUAUCUUGUGCUUUGACUUGUUCGGUUGUUCUCGACAUGUAAGAACAACGAUGCAUAAACUACUAUGUAAUGCUAAUCAUAAAGAUAUGUUCUAUACAUGAUUUGAUUUUUAGCUAACUUGUUUAUAAACCUUGCCACUAUUUUAAUAUCACGUAAAAAGUAGUACGUAUAGUCUAUGAUACUCUUUGCCAAAUGCCAAUCAUUGAUGACUUCAUGUUCAUGCCUAACAAGAUUAGUUUGAGUAUUAGUUAAUUAUCUGUUAUACAGUUCAUGCUAGCAUGAGCUUCUCCAUUGAAACUAGUAAUCAAAAGAAUAUAAGAGCAUAACCAACCAAAACCAACGGAGUGUGAACAUUACAAAGAUACAUGAUCCCCAGUUCUUCACUUAAAUCAUGUUUUUAUUAUUGUUAAUCACCAUUAAUUAUACACUUUAGUUUAGGCUUUUCGAUGAUUUUCUUUUAGAGCAAAUAUUGGUGGGCUUUGAAUGAUCAAUAUCUAUGUAAUAUUCCAUGUAAUCACUCAUCACCUAUGCUUGCUCAUGCACUUCGUAGCAAAUUUUCAUCUUUUCAACGCAAUUCAUGCCAUGAUUUUCUUUUCUUGAGGGACAAACUUUUGUUAAUCAUAUCAUGACCCUUAUAAGGUAAUAAUUGAACAUCAUUGCGCAAACCUCACCCUCAAACUUCUAUCAAACAGUAUUUUCAUGAUAUUUGAUCAUGAGUCUUAGACGGUCAAAUCUGAUUACUUAAUUGUGCUCAAAUACAUUACUACGUUGUCUAAAUAAUGAAUGUCACCUAACUUACGAAAACAUAUAACUUCAACAAUUGAGUAUAACACAAAUAUGUAAGAUAUAAUAUACAAAUAAUGACCCAAAAUUUAACUUUUAUUUGCUUGCAUAAGCCAGAGAAGAAACCCAUUUGCAGUUGUUUAUCCACUUAAUUGUGGUUGUUGACUGCAUUAUUCUUUCGUCGAUAACCUAAUACUUUAGGAUGAACACUAAUAUUCCAUAAACCGAAUGUAUGUGGUUGGUUAUCCACCAAAUACAGGAUAGGUUAUACAAUCAUCCCUCAAAGUCACAAAAUUGCAGCUAGGGACAAUAAAAUCAGCCACCCAAGUAUGAACAAAACAAGUGGACUACAUUAUAAUCAGUUUCGUCUUAAUCAUACCAUCCUACAAGUAAGUAGAUGACCACCCAAAACAAAUUUGAUGCUAUUGGAAACUAGUACCACCUGGCAUUACGCCUGCUUCCAUGGCUUUUGUCUUUUUUCCUCAGGCCGGCGACCACCAAGUAAUAGUGUACAACUAAAAAACGCCACCCCCUGAAAAACCAAAUACUAAUCAACAUUUUUCAUUUUUCUACCCAAAAACAAAAAACCGUAGCUUCUGUUUUCCCAAACCCAAUGAGUUAGCAACUGGUCCAAUUCUUUUUCACUUUCCUUCUUCCAUUUUGUCUCUUUUCCUUUUUCUUCCCUCUUUCUCAAACUCCCAAAAUCCCCUAUUUGCUGGCCUUGAAUCAGCAUCUUUGCAAAUCCAACUUACCGUUAUCAUUGCCCAUAAUUAAUUGUUGCUCGUUUCGUCUGUGGUCGCUGUCGAUUGAGGUGGUGGUGUUAGCUAUGCCUAGCUAGCUACAGUUUAAUUUCUCUCUGAUCUUCUUCAACAUACUCACGGGUGUUCCAUGGCCGCGCUUUAAUCCAAACUCGCAGGUCAUUUUCCAUACAAUUCUUGCUUGUGUUUUGCUUGUAUCAGUUGUAUGUAUAUUUUGGGGGUUUGGUUUGGUGGUUUGAGUUUGUUCUGUUCUGUUAUUCCGGUGGUGGGUUUUGUUGGGUCUCUUCUGUUCAGUUCGAGAAUGAGUCAACUGAGUCUGGUGUUGCAGGAAACUGUCCGGAGGGGAAGGGAGGCCAGGACGAUUCUGGAGGUUUUAAGAGAGCAAAUGGACGACGGCGAUGCGGUCACGGCAGGGAGGAGGAGUUUCAAGCAGCGGCUGAGAUUGACCGGAAUAGGAUGCUGCGGCGCCGCGUGGGGAUUCGGACGGACGGCCACGAUUAACGUAGAGGAAGAUGAGGUAGGACAACAGCAACCGCGGCAACAAGAGGAGCAGCAGCUGCAGAUGCCGAACCUCUCGCAGUUGCUGAUACUGGGCCAGGCAGCCGGGUCGGAUUCGGAUCCGGGUUGCUUGGGUCCGGUCAACUCCGGGUCGGGUAUGAACCUCGCGGCGGCGCUGGCGGCGGAGAGGCAUUACCGGGAGGCGGACGAGGCCGCGGCGUUGCAGACGACGGCGCCAGGGACGCCGAUGAGGGUGUCGCUGAUGAGGUUACUGGAGGAGACGGAAAUGGACGGCUGCGAUGUGGUGGCGGGGGAGAAGAGUGAGAAAGCGACGGGUGCGGGAGUGGUGGGGUGUGAUUCGGUGUGCUGCGUGUGCAUGGGGAGGAAGAAAGGCGCGGCGUUCAUACCAUGUGGGCACACUUUUUGCAGGGUGUGUUCGAGGGAGGUGUGGCUUAAUCGAGGCUCCUGUCCCCUCUGCAACCGUACGAUCCUCGAGAUUCUCGAUAUCUUCUGACGUGCAUGGAGAUUUGCGCCGCCGUGGAAUUCAGGGAAGACGACGGUGACGGUGACUGUUGGUGAAUACUAUUGGAAGGUGUAGUAAUUCUUCUUCUUCUUCUUCUUCUUGGUCUUUGUUUUUAUAGAAAAUUCGAUUUGAUUGUUCUCAUUUGUACUCAAUAUGAUAUGUUUAUGGAUGUAGUGAUGUAAUUUUUACUCUGUUUUCUCUCCACUUGAGAAUCGAAAUGAAGCUGCAUUGAUGCAAUAGACUAUUCCCAAUGGUCUUUGUCAACUUGAUUAGUAAAUUUUCUCACUGAUGUUCUUACCAAGAACAUAGAAUAUGGGAUAUGCAUGUUAGUAUGUUACUAGUUUAGGGUUAGAAUUAUAAAGAGCUGGAUCCUCUCUGUUUUUUUUUGGUUACAAGAGCUGGAUCCUCUUUAGUUGUAGCAUUUGAUCCCUUCCAAUGCAUUCUAUGAAUUCGAUGCUAUAGCUAGCCUCGUGCCUUGUAAUAAGAAAGUAAUGUCACGGAUUGUCUUGCAAUUUCUUAAAGUAAAUUAAAUACGAAUGAUCUUGCGCUCUCAAAAUCAUUUGAUUUGAAGUUUCGCCAAAUUCAUAUAACACACCUCCAUAUUUGGAUCAGACUAGUUGAUACAAAGUCACUCUAGUUGAUACAAGAGAUGUCUAGGGCCGCGUAGGGCCGCCUAGGCCUGUCUAGGGGCCGCCUAACUCGCGUAGGAACCGCCUAGACCCACCAAGGGCCACAAAGAUCUAAGCAAGCAUCCUUUGUUGAUGUUCACAAGACAAAGUCCUUAGAUCCGGUUUAAAACGAAACUCGUAUAAACUAAUCUGAUUGAGAUUUUCGAGUUCCGUCGGUUGAAGAAGUAUUUAUUUGUCAUGAUUUCAUAUUAGAAAAGAUUUGGUUAAAAAACAAGCAUUGAAUUUUGACGGAAAAUUUUAACUGAAAUCAAGCAAAACUCGUAUACACUAAUCCGAUUGAGGUUUUUGGCUUUCGUCAGUUCGAGAAGUACUUAUUUAUCAUUAUUUGAUAAAAGAAAAAGUUUGGUUGAAAGAUAAAAACAUUGUAUUUUAACGAUAAAAUCGUGUGUUAUAUCAAAGGGUUUUAACUGAAAUCAAACAAAACUCGUAUACACUAAUUCGAUUGAGGUUUUCGACUUUCGUCAGUUCAAGAAGUACUUAUUUAUUAUUAUUUGAUAAUAGAAAAAGUUUGGUUGAAAAAUAAGAAUAUUAUAUUGUAACGAAAAAAUCGAGUGCUAUAUCAAGAGAUUUUAACUGAAAUUAAGCGAAACUUGUAUAUACUAAUUCGAUGGAGAUUUUCGAGUUCCGUCAGUUUGAGAAGUACUAAUUUGUCAUAAUUUCAUACUAGAAAAUGUUUGGUUAAAAUAUAAGAACAUUCAAUUUUGACGGAAAAAUCAUGUGCUAUAGCAAGAGAUUUUAAAUGAAAUCAACCGAAACUCGUAUACGCUAAUUUGACAGAGGUUUUCGAGUUCUUUCAGUUCAAGAAGUACUUAUUUGUCAUGAUUUCGUAAUAGAAAAGGUUUGGUUAAAAAAUAAGUGCAUUGAAUUUUGACGGAAAAAUCGUGUGCUAUAAUAAGAGAUUUAAACCGAAAUCAAGCAAAACUCAUAUACACUAAUCCGAUUGAGAUUUUUUCGACUUUCGUCAGUCCGAGAAGUACGUAUCUAUCAUUAUUUGAUAACAGUAAAACUUUGGUUGAAAAAUAAGAAUAUUCUAUUUUAACAAAAAAAAUCGACCUGAACAACCACCAGUUCACCGCCUUCCCGUGCUCCGAUCGACCUGAUUUUUGGACAGCAGCUUCCUCAUCCAGUGAUGCUCCUCCUGUCAAAAUUUUAGCUCUAAACUCGAAGCAAAAGUAGGUGAAAAGUUGUUUCUCCUCUCGGCAGCCUCUAGAAACCAAAGAUUUCAAGAUUGCUCGUCUUCCAAGGAAAGCCAGAAAGGUUCCCAACCCUUGGGCCGCCUUGACCCGCCUUGGGCGGCCUUUAACCGCCUUGACCCGCCUUGACCCUUCUAAACCCACCAAGGGGCUGCCUAGGGCCGCCAUGGGGCCACUUUGACCUGCCUCAGCCCGUCUUGGGCCGCCUUGACUCGCCUUGACCCGCCUUAACCUCUCUUGGACCGCCUUGACUCGUCUUGGCCCGCCUUGACCCGCCUUUGCCCGCUUUGAACCAUUUUGUGCCGCCUUGAUCCACUUUGAACCGCCUUGACCCUCCUAAGUCCGCCUUGACCCUCCUAGACCCACCUAGGGCCGCCUUUACCCUCUUAGACCCGCCUAGGGCCGUCUUGACCCUUCUAAACCCGUCAAGGGGCUGGCUAGGGCCGCCAUGAGGCCACUUUGACCUGCCUCGGCCCGUCUUGGGCCGCCUUGACUCGCCUUAACCUGUCUUGGCCCACCUUGACUCGCUUUGGCCCGCCUUGAAGCAUCUUGGGCCGCGUUGACCCUCCUUGGCCCCCUUGGCCCGCCUUGACCCACCUUGGACCGUCGUAGGCCGCCAUGACUCACCUUGAACCGCCUUGACCCCCUAGACCCGCCUAAGUCCGCCUUGACCCUCCUAGACUCGCCUAAGGCCGCCUUAACCCUCAUAGACCCGCCAAGGGGCGGUCUAGCUAGGGCCGCCAUGGGGUUGCCUUGGACCGCCUUUGCCCGCCUUUACUCGCCUUGAACCAGCUUGGGCCACCUUGACUCGCCUUGGCCCACCUUAACUUGCCUUGGACCGCCAUGACCCGCAUUGGACCACCUUGACCCUCCUAGACCCCCCCUAGGGCUUCCAAGAAGCUGCCAUGAGUCGCCAAGGGGUCUCCAUGACCCUUCUAGGGCUGCCAAAGGGCCGCCUUAACCAGCCUUGACCCGUCUUGACCUGCCUUGAUCCUCCUAGACUCGCCUAGGGCGGCCUUGACCUUUCUAGACCUGCCAAGGGGCUGCCUAGGGCCGCCAUGGGGCUAGCUUGGCCCGUAUUGACCCGCCUUGGACCGCCUUUACACGCCUUGGCCCGUCUUGGAACGCCUUGACCCGUAUUGGACCGCUUUGAACCGCCUUGGGCCGCCUUGACCCUCCUUGGACCGCUUAGGCCCGCCUUGAACGACUUUGGGUUGCCUUGACCCUCUAGACCCGCCUUGACCAGCCAUGGGCCGCCUUGACCCUCCUUGACCCCCUAAAGGCUUCUAAGAAGUCGCCAUGACUCGUCAAGGGGUCUCCACGACCCUUCUAGGGAAGCCAAGGGGCCGCCUUAACCCGUCUUAACUUGCCUUGGCCCAUCUUAACUCGCGUUGGCCCACCUUGACCCUUCUAGACACUCUUAGGGCCGCCUUAACCCUCCUAGACCCGCUAGAGGGCUGCCUAGGGCCGCCAUGGGGCCACCGUGACCCGCCUUGACCCACCUUGGACCACCUUUGCCCGCUUUUACUCGCCUUAGCCCGUUUUGACCCGCCUUAGCCUGUCUUUGCCCGCCUUGGACCACUAUGGGCCGCCUUGACCCUUCUAGACCCGCCUAGGGCUACCUUGACCCUCCUACACCCGCCUAGGGUCACGAAGAUGCCGCCAUGACUCGUCAAGGGGUCGCGAUGACCCUCCUAGGCCGGUCAAGGGCCGCCAAGAGGCCGUAUUAACCCGCCUUGGCCGCCUUAGAUCGCCUUGAUCCGUCUUGGCCCGCUUGGCUCGCCUAGGCCCACCUAGGGCAGCCAAGGGGCCGCCAAAACCCACCUAGGGCGGCCAAGGGGCCGCCUUGACCCGUCUAGGGGUUGCCUUGACCCGCCUUAGGUCGCCUUGUUCCAUCUUGGGCCACCUUGACCCUUCUUGGCCUUGCCAGGCCCACCUAGGGUAGGCAAAGGGGCGCCAUGGCCCACCUAGAGCUGCCACGGGGAUGUCUUUACAUGCCUUGACCCUCCUAGGCCCGCCUAGGGCCACUUUGACCAGUCUAGGGACGCCAAGAGGCCGCCUUGACCUGCCUAGGGCCGCUAAGGGGACUUCAUGACCUACCGAGGAGCUUCCUUUACACGCCUAGGGUAGUUUUGUUCUCCUUAGGGCCCGCCAUGACCCGCAUAUGGCCGCCAAAGGGCUGCCUAGGGCCGCCAAGGGGAUGCUUAGGGCCGCCAUGGGGCCACCUUGACCCGUCUAGAGCCGCCUUGACUCUCCGUGGGGACACCUUGACCAGCCUUGGCCCCCUUGACCCGCCUUUAACCGCGUUGGGCUGCCUUGACCCAUCUUGGAACGCCUUGGGCCACCUUAACCCGCUUUGGGCAGCCUUGGCCCGCCUUGGCUCGUCUUAGGCCGCCACGGGGCUGCCUUUACAUUCCUUAACCCUCCUAGGCCCGCCUAGGGUCACCUUGACCAGUCUAGGAACGCCAAGAGGCCGCCUUGAUCUGCUUAGGGCCGCCAAGGGGACGUCAUGACCCGCCGAGGGGCUUCCUUUACACGCCUAGGGUUGUUUUGAUCUCCCGAGGGCUUGCCAUGACCCGCAUAAGGCCGCCAAGGGGCUGCCUGGGACGCCAUGGGGCCACCUUGACCCGCCUUUGCCCGCCUUGGAAUGCCUUGGGCCGCCUUAACCCGCAUUGGACCGCCUUGGGCCGCUAUGAACCGCCUUACCCGCCAUGGGCUGCCUUGACCCCGCUUGAACUGCGUUGGGCCACCUUGACCCUCCUAGACCAGCCUAGGGCUGCCUUGACCCCCCCUAGACCCGCCAAGAGGCUACCUAGGGCCACCAUGGGGCUGCCUUGGACCGCCUUGGCCUUCCUUUAGCCGCCUUGGCUAGCCUUGAACCGCCUUAGGCAAACUUGACCCUCCUUGGACCGCCUUGGCCCGUUUGGAACGCCAUGACCCGGCUUGAACCGCCUUGGGCUGCCUAGGGCCACCAAGAAGCUGCCAUGACUCGCCAAGGCGUCGCCAUGACCCUCCUAGGCCCAUCUAGGGUCAAGGGACCGCCUUAACCCGCCUUGACCAUCCUUGGCCCUUCUAGGCCUACCUAGGGCAAGGGGGCGCCAUGACCCACCUAGGGCCGCCAAGGGGUUGCCUUUACACGCAUUGACCCAGUUUGACCCGUCUAAGGCCGCCAGGAGGCCGCAUUGACAUGUCUUGGGCUGCCAACAAGCCACCUUGACACGCCUAGGGCCGCCAAGGGGACGUCUUGACCUGCUAAGGGGAUGCCUUUACACGCCUAGGGUUGUUUUGACCUCCCUAAGGCCCGCCAUGACCCACCCAGGGCUUCCUACGGUCACCAUGGGGCCACUUUGACCUGUCUCGGCCCGUCUUGGGCCGCCUUGACUAGCCUUGACCCGUCUUGACCUGCCAUGGCCCGCCUUGGGCCGUUUUGACCCGCCUUGGGCCACCAUGGGCCGCCUUGUCCCGCCUUUACCUGCCUUGAACCGCCUUGACCCUCCUAGACCCGCCUAGGGCCGCCUUGACCCCCCUAGAUCUGCAAGGGGCCACCAAGAAGCCUCAAUGACUCGCCAAGGGGUCUCCAUGACCCUUAUAGGGUCGCCAUGGGGCAGCCUUAACCUCCCUUAGGACACCUUGACCCGUCUUGGUCCGUCUUGGGCCGCCUUGACCCGCUAUGACCCGCCUUAGAACGCCUUGUGCUGCCUUUGCUCGCCUUGAACCGCCUUGACCUUCGUCGGCUCUUCUAGGCCCACCUAGGGCAGCCAAGGGGGCGCCAUNNNNNNNNNNNNNNNNNNNNGCCAUGACCCACCUAGGGCCGCCAAGGGUAGCCUUUACAGGCCUUGACCCUCCUAGGCCUGCCUAAGGCCACCUUGACCCUUCUACAGCCGCCAAGAGGCCGCCUUGACCUGCCUAGGGCCGCCAAGGGGGUACCUUGACACGCCUUGACCCACCAAGGGGCUGCCUAGGGCCGCCUAGACCCGCCUUGGGUCGCAUUGAACCGCCUUGGGCUGCCUUGACCCGCGUUGGGCCGCCUUGACCCUCCAAAGACUCGCCAAGGGGCUGCUUAGGGUAGCUAUGGGGAUUUCUAGACCCGCCUUGGGCCGCAUUGAACCGCCUUGGGCGGCCUUGACCCAUCUUGGGCCGCCUUGCCCCGCCUUGAACUGCAUGGGCCGCCUUGACCCUCCAAAGACCCACCAAGGGGCUGCCUAGGGCCGUCAUGGGGCCACCUUGACUCGUCUUGGACCUGCCUUUACACGGCUUGACCCAUCUAGGGCCUCCAAGAUGCCGCCUUGACAUUCCUAGGCCCUCCAAUAAGCUGUCAUGACUCGCCAUGAACUGUCAAGCGGCUGCCUUUACACGCCUUGACCCUCCUAUCCCAGCCUAGGGCAACCAUGACCCCUGUAGGGCUAUCUUAACCCCCCUUGGCCCGCCUUAGGCUGCCUUGAUCCUCCUCAGCCCUUCUAGGCCCACCUAAGGCAGCCAAGGGGGAGCCAUGACACGCCUUGGCCUGUCAAGGGGCUACCUUUACACGCCUUGACCCGCAACCGUCUUGGGAAGCCUUGACCCGCUUUGGACCGUCUUGACCCGCCUUGACUUGCCUUGGACUGCCUUGACCCGCCUUGAAUCGCCUUGGGCCGUCUAGUGCCACCAAGAAGCCGCCAAGACUCGACAAGGCGUUGAUAUGACCCUCGUAGGCCUGUCUAGGGCCUCCAAGGGACCGCCUUAACCCGUGUUGGCCCACCUUAGGCCGCCUUGACCCUCCUCGACCCAUCUAGUCCCACCUAGGGCAGCCAAGGAGGCGCCAUGACCCACCUAGGGCCGCUAAAGGGCUGCCUUUACACGUCUUGACCCGUCUAGAGCAACCAAGGGGCCGCCUUAACCCGCCUUGGCCCGCCUUAGGCCACCUAGACCCGUCUUGGGCCGCCUUAACCCUCGUCGGCUCUACUAGGCCAACGUAGGGCAGCCAAGGGGGCGCCAUGACCCACCUAAGGCCCGCCAAGGGGCUGCCUUUACACGAUUUGACAUUCCUAGGGUCGCCAAAGGGGCCGCCUUGACACGCCUAGGGCCGCAAAGGGUACAUCUUGACCAGCUAAAUGGCUGCCUUUACAUGCCUAGGGCUGUUUUGACCUCCCUAGGGCUGCCAUGACUCGCCUAGGACCGCCAAGGGGCUGCCUAUGUCCGCCAUGGGGCCACCUUGACCCGCCUGAGCCGCCAUGGGCCGCCUUGACUUGCCUUGUGCCGCCUUUACCCGCCUUGAACCGCCUUGACCCUCCUCGGCUCUUCUAGGCCCACCUAGGCCAGCCAAGGGGGCGCCUUGGACAGCCUUGCCCGCUUUGGGCCGCCUUGACCCUACUAGACCCGCCUAGGGCCACCAAGAAGCCGCCAUGACUCGCCAAUGGGACGCCAUGACCUGCCUAAGGCCGCCUUGACCCUCUUAGACCCGCCUUGGGCCACCAAGAAGCCGCCAUGACUAGCCAAUGGGUCUCCAUGACCCUUCCAAGGCCGCCAAGGGGGGCCGCCUUAACCCGCCUUGGCCCGUAUUGACCCGCCUUGGAACGCCUUGGCCCGUCUUGACCCGUCUUGGCUCGCUUGGGCCGCCUUGGCCCCCUUGACUCGCCUUUAACUGCCAUGGGCCGCCUUAACCCUCCUAGACCUGCCAAGUGGCUACCUUGGACCGCCUUUGCCCAGCCUUUACUCGCCUUGGUCCGCCUUAACCCACCUUGGCCCACCUUUGCCCGUCCUUACUCUCCUUGAACCAGCUUGGGCCGCCUUGGACCGCCUUUGCCCACCUUAACCGCCUUGGGUCGCCUUGACCUUCCUAGACCAGCCUAGGGCCGCUGUGACCCUCCUAGACCCUCCUAGGGCCGCUGUGACCCUCCUAGACCCGCCAAGGGGCUUGCUAGGGUAGCCAUGGAACCACCUUGAUCAGCCACCUUGACCUGCCAAGGGGCUUGCUAGGGUCGCCAUGGAGCCACCUUGACUCGCCUUGGGCCGUCUUUACUCGCCUUGAACUGCCUUUGGCCGCCAUGACUCGCCUUGGGCCGCCUUGACCCUCCUAGACCCCCUUAGGGCUACCAAGAAGCUGCCAUGACUCGCCAAGGGGUCUCCAUCACCCUUCUAGGGACGCCAAGGGGCCGCCUUAACCCGCCUUGGCCCGCUUUGAGCCGUCUUGACCCACUUUGGCCCGCCUUGACCCGCGAUUGUGCCUAAAUAACUCACGCCUGCCAUGUUUUGUAAAGCUGUUGAAAUUAUUGUUUUAAUUGGUAUUGAGUGACUUUUUAGGAUUUUGUUCUCUUCAAAUCUUCUCAUAAUGACAUCGGAAACCUUAGUUUCAUAAGAAAAUGAGGUCUUGUCCCUCAUUUUAGGUUUCACCUAAUUCGAGCUAGAAUCUCUUGCUAUAGCACACGAGUUUCUGCCCAGUUUCACUUUUUUUUGGGCCUCCGGCUUUUUCUAUUUGGGUGUGCUUACAGACACCUUCUAACAUAUAGUAAACCAUUCUAGCUUCAAAAAUACGUGUUUUUUAUCAAUUUACUCGCGAUCGGGCCUAAACAAACUCAUGCGUGCCGUGUUUUGUAAAACUGUUGAAAUUGUUGUUUUAAUUGUUAUUGAGUGAAUUUUUAAGAUUAUGUUAUCUUCAAUUCUACUGAUAUUGACAUCGGAAACCUUAGUCCUAAAAGAAAAUGA